AAGAGAAAUGGAUUUGCACGUCAUGGGUAUUGAGAUAUUCAAUGAACUAGUGGGAAGGUCAUUUCUGCAAGAGGUCGAGGAUGAUGGAUUUGGCAACAUAACAUGUAAAAUGCAUGAUCUUAUGCAUGAUCUUGCACAAUCCAUUGCAGCACAAGAAUGCUAUACGACAGAAGGCGAUGGGGAGUUGGAAAUUCCUAAGACUGCCCGUCAUGUUGCUUUUUAUAACAAAUCAAUAGCUUCGUCUUCUGAAGUUCUCAAGGUCCUAUCACUUCGCUCACUUCUUGUGAGGAAUGAACAGUAUGGGAAUGGAUGGGGAAAGAUUCCUGGUCGAAAACAUCGAGCCUUGAGUUUAAGAAAUAUCCGGGCCAUGCCGAAGUCAAUUUGUGAUUUGAAACAUCUAAGGUAUCUAGAUGUAUCAGGCUCCGAGAUCAAAACACUGCCUGAAAGUACAACCUCUCUCCAAAACCUCCAGACACUAGAUCUGAGUUCUUGCAAACAGCUCAUCCAUUUACCAAAAGGUAUGAAGCACAUGAAAACUCUUGUCUAUCUUGACAUAACGGGUUGUUAUUCACUUCGAUUUAUGCCUGCUGGAAUGGGGCAAUUGAUAUGCCUGCGAAAACUUACCCUGUUCAUUGUGGGUGGGGAGAAUGGUCGUCGCAUAAGUGAGCUGGAAAGGCUGAAUAAUCUUGCUGGUGAAUUGAGGAUCGUAGAUCUUGUGAAUGUUAAGAAUUUAAAAGAUGCCACAAGUGCCAAUUUGAAGUUGAAGAAAGCUCUUUUAUCACUGACUUUAUCUUGGUAUGAGAAUGGAUCUUACCUUUUUCACCCUGGAUCAUUAGUGCCACCGCAGCAAAGAAAGAGUGUUAUUCAGGAAAAUAACGAGGAGGUCCUUGAAGGGCUUCAGACUCAUUCAAAUCUGAAGAAGUUGAGGAUAUGCGGAUAUGGAGGUUCAAGAUUUCCUGAUUGGAUGAUGAACUUGAACAUGACGCUACCAAAUCUGGUAGAGAUGGAGCUAUCAGCAUGUGACCACUGUGAACAACUUCCACCAUUGGGGAAACUGCAGUUCCUCAAGAGUCUUGUAUUGCGUGGAAUGGAUGGUGUGAAGAGUAUUGACAGCAAUGUGUAUGGAGAUGGGCAAAGUCCAUUCCCAUCUUUGGAGACGCUGACUUUUAAGUACAUGGAGGGAUUAGAGCAAUGGUCUGCGUGUACUUUUCCUCGCCUUCAAGAAUUGAGGAUAUUCGAUUGCCCUAUGUUGAACGAAAUACCAAUUAUACCCUCUGUCAAAUCACUGCACAUCGAGAGAGUGAAUGCUUCGUUGCUGAUGUCAGUUAGGAAUCUCACUUCUAUCACCUCCCUUCAUAUAGAAGAGAUUCCAAAUGUGAGGGAGCUUCCCGAUGGGUUUUUGCAAAAUCAUACCCUCCUUAAAAGCUUGACUAUUUGGGAUUGUGAUGAACUUGAAAGCUUGCCAGAGGAAGGUCUUCGUAAUCUCAAUUCCUUGGAGGUUUUAAACAUAGGUGGUAGAAGAUUAAAUUGUUUGCCAAUGAAUGGGCUGUGUGGUUUAUCUUCUCUUCGUAGUUUAAAUAUUCAAUAUUGUGAUAAAUUCACAUCCCUAACUGAGGGAGUGCGGCAUCUGACUGCGCUUGAGGAUUUGUUACUUGAAGGAUGUCCAGAGCUGAAUUCAUUGCCAGAGAGUAUCCAACAGCUCACUUCUCUCCGAUCUCUAUACAUUUAUAAUUGUCCAAAUUUGAAGAAAAGGUGUGAGAAAGAUUUAGGAGAGGACUGGCCUAAGAUAGCUCGCAUUCCUGAUAUUAGAAUCAAUUAAAAUUGAUAUGCAAAAUUUGUAAUGAUAAUAAAAUAUAUAUUUUCGUAGUUUUAAUUUGUUGUAAUUGUUUAAAUAAUUUUCUCAAAUUGAUUGUUGUUUUAUUCUUCAUAUAAAUGUGUAAAAAUGAUUGGUUCAUUAUUUGUUUUAAUUGAAACUUGUUUUACUACUGUAAUAGGUUUUUUUUCCUUAACACACAAUACUUCUCAUAAAAAAAAGCAUAAAAUUAAGCCAAUUAAGUUUUUUUUUUGGUUACUUCAAAAGAAAACUUGUAUAAGAAAAUCAACUGUUGAGGUUUCUCAACUAAAAUAUCAAUCUUAUAAACAUCCUUUUAGCCUUUAUGAAGACGUAAUUUUACUUAAUUAAAUGAAACUUAUAAUAUUUUGCGUGUUUUGCCAUUAAAGAUUGCCGUGGAAAAAUAUUCGCUCGAUUGCCUUUUAUCCAUUUAAAACUUUUUAAACUUAAAAUUAAAUAUACAUUGCUCGUACCAUAAAAAUACACAUUGAUUUUGUCCUUUUUAAUAAUAUUUAUAUAUUAAUUCAAAUUUUUUUAAAAAAUAAUUAACUUAAUCAAGUUCUUAUUUAAUUUUUCAAGAUCUAGAAAAAUAAUCCUUAUAUUAAUUAUAUUGUAAUCAUUAAUUUUUAAUAUAUAUAUGGUUCGGGGGGGUUUUUUUUGUUUUUUUUUUUUAGGUCGACCUACUAGCUAUUUGGUAAUUUUAAAAAAUAAAUACUAUAAAAAAACUAUUGACAUGUGCAACUCAUGUGUUAGCACAUGUAAGGUCGUCCAGUGACCAAAAUCAAUCAUCUACGAUGAUGUUUGGAGUGGCCCAUUGUUCGCUUCAUAUUGGCGAGAUGUGUGUUAACAGUAAAGGUGUGAUUGGGCUCUAAUGAGCUUUUUUUUCUUUUCCUUUCUUUUUUUCUCUUAACUUAGAAAUUCAUGUCAGCCCUUUCAAAAAUUGAUUGUGUCCUCUAGUUUUUAUUUAUAUUAAUUUUAGUUCUCAUUCUUUUAAUUACUAUUUGUUUUGCUUGUAAUACUUUUUUGAAGUUUUUUUUUUAAAAAAAUUCAUACCUAAAAAUUUUGUUUCAUAUAGUUUUUGUAUUCAAUUUAGUCCUCAUUCUUUUGAUUUCUGUUUUCAUAUUAUUUUCUUGGGUUUUUAUUUUUAUUUUUAACCCUCAACAUUUUAUUUUAUUUUAUUUCUUUAUCAAAUAAUGGUUCUCAUUCUUUUUAUUGCUAUUUUUUAAUCUUUUUUCUUAAUUUAUUUUAUUUUUUAAUUUAAUCCCUAAUUAUUAUUAUUAUUAUUAUUUGGAUUUUAUACCAUAUUUGAUCCUUAUUAUUAUGAUUACUAUUUGUUUUGUUUUGAAAAAAAAUAUGAUUGGAAAUUUUACUUUAUUAGUUUUUUUUUGUUUACUUUUCUGCACGGUAAUCAUAUUCUCAUGAUUUGGAUAAUUAGUUUUGAAUAUUAGCCCAAUUUAUGUUAGGUCUUUUUUUUUUCUUUACUAAUUUUUUUUUCAAUUUCAUCAUUUGACAUUGGGUUAUUGGGGUUUGAGCUUUGUUAUAUGUUCAACUUUUAUUUUUUAGUUUAUAUCGAUCUUCUAUCUCGGGUGGAGGGUUAGUCGAGUUAACACAAGUUGACUAAAUGUUUUUUUGCCUCAAAUUAUUUUUAAGAAAUUAUAUAUUUUUUUUUAUUGACCCUUGAGCUUUGUGAUUCUUUCACAUUUUUUAUGUGGGGUCAUCCUAAGUGCAGGUUAGUCAAGUUAACUUGGGUUUUAUCUGACGUUUCUUUUAUUUAACUUUAGUAUUUUAUUCUAGGUCCUUUUAAAAAAUAUAUUUAAUUUUUUUUUAUCCUGAUCUCAUAUUAUGGAUGGUAGGUUGGUCAAGUUAACUUAACUUGACCUGAGUUUUUUUUUUUUAUGUUACUUUUUCUUAAAAUUAAUUUUUUAAAAAAUGUUAUCAUUUGCCAUUAGGUCAUUGGGCUUUGAGUUUUGUUAUGUUUUUUUUUGUCACUUUCUUUUCUUCAAGGUAAUCUUGAUUUCAUAUCAUGUGUUGCAUGUAUAGUCAAGUUAAACCGUGUUGAUUGAGGUUAUUAUCGCUUAGACAUCUUUUAUUGCAUGAGAAAAAAACUUAACCACACCCACAACGUUACGCCAAACACCUACCUAUUUACUAUUAAAAAGAGAUUUAUAGCAUAAGUAAAGCCGUGUGUUUUUUUGGUUGGACUGUACUUUUUACAAAAUUUAAAUUUUUUUCUUUUGCUUUCAAUUAAAUUUUUUAAGUUUUUGAAUUGUUUUAAUAUCUUUAUAUCAAAAAUAAAUUCUAGAAAAUAAAAUUAUUUUAAUGUAUUUAAAAAACUAUUCUCUGUUAAGAAAAAUUGUAUAAUUACCAUCACCAAACAUGUGAUGUUUUGUAAUAAAAAGGAAUGAGAAAAUACAAUAAAGCCCUUGGAGGCUUAAAGAAAGGGUAAAUGAUUGAAGGGUGUUGUGGUAAUUGACUAAUAGUUGAUAAAUAUAUAUAAGAAUAAGAAAAAAAAAAAAAAAAGGAUCUGAAUUUGGAGAGAGAACCGGCAGGAGAGAAGAGAGGAAGAAGAAGAAGAAGAGAAAAGAGGGGAAAAUAAGGGAAAAAGGAAAAAGAUUGAAGAAAAUAAGUAAAAAGGUAAGAUUUAUGGUUUUAAGUGUAUAAUAUGUUAAAUUUCGGUUUUGAUUAAUUUUGAGAGUUUUGAAGUUUGUAUUUUGAGUUAAUUGAUGAAUUAAUUUGAAGGUUAGGAGUUGAUUAUUGUGGGUAUUUGAUUAAUUAGUUGAUUUUGAGAGAUUGAAUUGAAAGAUAAUGAUUUUGAGUUAUGAUUUUGUUUAAAUGGUGAAAUUUGUUAGAAAUCAGGGGAUAACAGUAGGUGAUCUGUUGAAAUUCUGGGUUUGAGGUUGAAGAUGACGAAAAUUCAGUUUGGUCCCUCAAUUUGUGAAAUUGCAGUUUAGUCCCCGAACUUUGGAAAUUUUACAGAUUGGUCCCUGGGGCAUAAAUUGAGGUUCUGAACAGAACUGAGGAUGAUUUAAGGACAAAAUUCCAGUAUAAUUAAUAUUUUCAGUUUGGUCCUCCAAUUUGACAAAUUAAUUUGACCCUAAAUUUGUAAAUCACAUGGUCCUUGGGCAUAAUUCAAGAUUCUGGACAGAUAAGGACGAAUUAUGGAUAAAUUUCAGUAUGGUAUAUAUAUUUACAAUUCGGUCCUCAAAUUUGGUAAAAUUACGUUUUGGUCCCUGUUUUGGAAAAUUGUCGUUUUAGUCCCUAAACUUGGGAGAUUAAGCCCGGUUUAUUUUAUGCAUUGGGAUCUUUUGUUUGAUUUGUUUUUGAGUAUAUUUCAUAUAUUUAUUGUAGGUUCUCCUAACGAUCCUUAAUCGGAUUUUCGGGUCUUUGUCUGACAUUCCUUUAGUUCAGUAUUUUCCGGGUGAGUGGAAUAAUCUUUAAUAUGCAUAUAUAUAUAUAAAUAAAUAUGUAUGUUGAUUAUACAAUGAGUACAACUAGUAAAUUUCUUGAAUAUUUAUAUAUGUUGCUUUAUUUUCCGAGUACUCAUUUAUUCUUGAAUUUGCACUCGCAAUCUGUUAAAGUAAAUUCUAUUUGAUAUGAUAUACGUUUCUUUGAUGAUUAUGUGAAUAUCUGUUAUGCCUUGAUAUGGGACUUGUCAGUACUCCAUGCUAACGGAGAAUAGUUAGCCUGUGUGCACAUAGUAUUCUGUUACCUAGCUGGUGAGAGAGGCAUCAGCCUGUGGCGAUUGAUCAUCCCACAGUGGUCACCGACGGGUGUCAGUCACCGACGGGUGUCAUCUGGUCACCUUCGGGUGUCAUCUGGUCACCUUCGGGUGUCAUCUGAUCUCUGACAUGUAAUCCACUACGUUAUGAUAAUAUGUUACGUUAUGAUAAUAUGUUUAGUAAGUAUAUGUAUAUGUAUAUUAAGAUAAAUCAUCUUACAAAUUAUUAAUAUCUGAAAUAUCUGAAAUGUAUAUUAAAUGUUAUUCCCUCACUGAGUUGUUGAACUCACCCUCAUUUUUAAUAUUAUUUCAGGUUCUUAGUUUCUGGACUUUGUUGAGUGUUUCCGUUUCUUCAGUUCUGGUCGGUAUGCCUUGCUUGUUCGCGAGGCUUUCCGUUCAGUUUUGAUAUGAUGUCUUAGACGCUCCACUGUUACCUUGUUUUAAUUACGUUUGGAUUUUGACAAUGUAAAUGUAUUAUGAAUUAUUAUUUUUGUUUUAAUAACUAUCUUUUGGUUUCAUCAGUAUUUGAAUAAUAUAAUAUUUCUGUAUAUUAUGAGCCGCUGCGUAUUUUUGAACAAAUUGUUCUUUUGAUAUGUCCGUUCUGAGGCUUAGCGUAGGUGAGGUGUCCUUUCAACACCGCUCCUACGUUGCCGGUCACGGAUCCGGGAUUCGGGUCGUGACAAAACACUUAUGAAUGGUAGGUGUGCCUAUAUUUGUAGAAAUUCAUAUAAUCUAGUAGUAGAAACUCAUCGUUUAAACACUUGUCUGUUUAAUAAUCUUUUCAAGACUCAACUAUGUUACUAGAUUCAUUUGCUAAAUUGUGAAUUAUAUCAAGUUCAAGUUUCCCUCGUCAGAUUUUGAUCCUUAAUCUAUUUUAGAAGUUCAAUCAGGACCAUGUUAUUCAUAGAAUUACCGGUAAGGUACGUAGCCUAUAUUUGUGAGAAGUCUUCGUAAUACCCAUUUUAUUAUGGUUUAUGUUGUACGUGUGCAGUGUCGCGACGAUCAUACUCUCUCAAGUAUAUGUAUCUAUCUAGUAAAUGUGGGGAGACAAUAAAUUCUUGUUUUUUAUCUAUGAAAAGCGGGAAUGAGAGUCGUCACUUAAUAUUUUGAUCACUAGAAACACUAACUGGUUUCAGAGAUCGGGCACGAGAACUGGUUGCAUAAAUGGAAUGUAUUAGCACCCAAAUAUACCUUACCUAAGAUAAGAUGUAUUGUUUAAUUAUCUGAUAAAAACUAAGGACUUGUCGUGUUUUUUAAUUGUUGGUAUGUCUAUGAUUUAAGAAAAGUCCUUAUGGGUGAGAAGAUCCUUAUCUUAUUAGAUAAAAACUAACCCUUCUAACAUCAAUAAAAGAAUUUAAUUUCCAGAAUAUGUCCUACGUAUAAGGUUGUAACCCCAGAUACUAAAAGGAAAAAAAUAAGUUUUUUUAGAAUUUUUGAAAUAUUAGCCUAGUUUUCGUUACUUUAAUAAACUAGUUAUUAAAACCAAAAUGCAUGUUAAAACAUAUUUUUAUAAAUUUUUUUUGUAUGAAAAUACGAAAUGAUUAUUUUUGUAGAGACUUGGCUUUAUGCAAGAAAAUAAGAUUUUUUCUUUUAAUUUUUUUUUUAAUAUUUUUGAGAAAACUAGGUAUUUUAAUACCAGAUUUAUAUUGUUACAGUAUAAAAAUACAAAUCAAUAUUACAUAAAAUUGAUAGAAAAAUGCAUGGGAUAAUUAUGUAUUGAACCAAUUAGAAAAAUCAAGUUGACAGAUGUUGUCUUCAAAUCACCGGGGUGUUGCUUAUCAGAAACUUCAACGCUUUAAUACAGACUGGCAUGGCUACUCAAGUCUGCACCGUGUGGAGCCUAAUCAGUAUAGUUAAAAGACUGCGAUUCUAAUAUUUUGAUAAAACUGAACCACCACACUAAAAUCAGUAAUAAAAUCAGUAAAAUCUCAUCACCAAACACCUUCACCUUUUCCAUUUCUCAUCUCAUAUUGCUCUUUCUUCUCAAUAUUAACUUACCAUUUCUUGCUCACCUCCCCGCUUUUAGUUUCCGUGCACCUUUUCUACUUCUCAACAUCCAAUUCCUUUGCCUUCGAAACAAGCUAUGGCGGACGCAGUUGUUUCUGCUGUAGCGGGUGCAAUCUUGGAGAACUUGAGGUUGCUGUUCUCAAAGAGGUUGGGCUUGCUCGAGGCCUAGACACCGAGCUUGAGAAUCUCGAAAGCACCUUCGCAAUGGUUCAAGCUGUGCUCCAGGAUGCGGAGGAGAAGCAAUGGAAGAACAAGGCUUUAGCGAUUUGGCUAAGACGCAUCAAGGAUGCAGCUUAUGAGGUUGAUGAUGUACUGGAUGAGUUUUCAAUUGAAGCUCAAAGGCAUCGGCUGCAAAGAGAUCCCAGAAACCGACUGAGAUCCUUCUUUACUCUCGGUCAUGGCCCCCAUCUUUUUCGAUUGAAAAUGGAGCACAAGUUGAAAAAUGUGAGAGAAAAAUUGGAUGCCAUCGCCAAUAAGAAAAACAUGUUUGAUUUAACACCAAGAACUGUAGACAUAGCAGCUGAUGCCUAUGAUUGGCGGCUUACCAACUCACUCGUGAAUGAGUCAGAAAUUUGCGGAAGACGGAAGGAGAAAGAGGAAAUCAUCAUGGGAUUCUUCUUGGUAUAUUUUCCUCGCCACUUGGGAUUUUAGACUCUAAUGUAGCUGAACUAAAAACGGUUGUCAAAACUAUUGAAUUAUCAACUUCUAACUAUCAUCUACAUCAUAAACACAUUAUUGUUGAAUUUGACUCGACCAAUGUCAUUAGCUGGAUGAAUAACCCUCAUAAUAGACCUUGGCUGCAUCAUAAUCUUUUCUCCUCUAUUCAGAGAGUAGCUUCAUGUUUUGGUUCACUCACAUUCACUCAUUCUCUUCGUGAGAGUAAUCAUAUGGCAGAUCACAUGGCAAAAAAGGGGUUGUUUAGAAACUCUGAAUGGGUCGCUUGGCUCUAAUCUGCUUGAUAUUUAGGCCUUUCUUUUUCUUUAAAUUCUGGUUGCGGAUGCUAAGGAAACUUGAUUGUUUCCCAGAUUACUCUAUUUCUAGAAAGGAGAAGAAUCAUCAAACUAUAUAGAAGCAAUUCCAGCUGGUCAGAUCUUGGUUUCAGAUUCUGAUGUUGUAAGUCUAGGGGCUUCUGUUGAUGAGCUUCCUUUUGCCUGCUAUGGUUUUCCCUGUGUUAAUGCGUCGAGUGUCUUGGUUCUUUUAUUGUUAAGUUGUCAAAGGCUGUUCUGUGAAGAGUCCAUGGCUCGUCUUUUGUUUCGGAUAAGAAGAUGCAAGAUGGAAAGAUUUUGUUUUACUACUAAUCUGGAUAUUGGUAGAAGUCUGUUUGGUUUCUUAUCCUGGUGUGGCUCCAAAUCUGCUUCUUUCAGCUGCUUCUUUGAUUCCUUGGCUUCAAAUAUAUAUAUUGUAGCCGCUAUUUGUUCUUUUCAUUUCUUGGUAUGUUAUUCAUUUCAUUGCAUAGUUCUGUUUAGGUGUCCUGUAAACAGAAUCUCUAUGUUCCCGUCAUCUAUUGGCGUCUUCUUAUGCAAUAUUAUGCUUCUCAAAAAAAGAAAGAGGAACAACUCAAAAUCCUGCUCACUAAUGACGACGAUCUCCCUAUUUAUGCUAUAUAGGGAAUGGGGGGACUCGGGAAAACGACACUUGCUCAAUUGGUCUCCAACGAAGAAAAGUUUAAACAACAAUUCGGUUUGAGGAUCUGGGUGUGUGUGUCUACUGAUUUUGACUUGAGAAGAUUAACAAGAGCCAUCAUGAAGCCCAUUGACGGUGCCUCUUGUGAUCUUCAAGAAUUGGUUCCCCUGCUACAACGCCUUCAACAAAAGUUAACUGGAAAAAAGUUUUGCUUGUACUGGAUGAUGUGUGGAAAGAUUAUACUGAUAGGUGGAGUAAAUUGAAGGAGGUACUAAGGUGCGGAGCUAAAGGUAGUGCUGUAACAGUAACUACGCGUAAUGAGAUGGUUGCUCGUAGAAUGGCAGCAACUUUUGUCCAGCCCAUGAGGAGGUUGUCUGAAGAAGAUUCUUUGCAUUUGUUUCAACAGCUUGCAUUCGGGAUGAGAAGGAAAGAGGAGUGGGUGCGCCUGGAAGCCAUUGGAGUAUCAAUAGUGAAGAAGUGUGGAGGAGUUUCUUUAGCUAUAAAGGCACUCGGGAACCUAAUGCGGCUAAAAGAAAGUGAAGAUUUGGGAUCUAAGAGAAGAAGCAAGCGAGAUUUUACAUGGAGAAAGAACAAAAUAUUAGAUUCUUUCCAAAACCUUCAGGUAUAUAGAACCAAAACUACCAUCUCUGUUAUUUUCUUUUCAACAUCUUCAAUAAAAAACCGCAGGCAAUGGAUGAGGUUGCUAGGAAGCAACGUUUGGUUCUUAUUACAUAGUCUGGGAAAAGUCAUAGUGCACCAAGUGAAACCUAAAAAUCACACAUCCUCAUGAAAUGUUUCAAUGUGCCACAUCAGGUGAAUUCUUAAAUUUACACAAUCACCUUUAGUUAGUCUAACAGCUUUGUCUUUCUUCUCAUGUAACUUAGAAAAAUAUUUCCAAAAAACUGCCCUCAAUCUAUCGGACAAACAUCAAGUCAUCUUAUAUGCAGGGACUCUAUUCAAGAAGUUUGUAUAUGAAGCCAACACACAUCAGGUGAGUUCUUGCAUUUACACAAGUUAAUUCUUGAUUAAUUAGUUUAACAGCUUUUUCUUUCUUUCUCAUGUACCAUGGGGAAAUAUUUCUGAAACAUUACCCUCAAUUUAUAGUCAACAAACAUCAAGUCAUCUUAAUUUAUAAUUAACAAACUAUAUCCAAGAAGUAUGUAUAUAUAUAAGUCACAUAAAAUCAAUUUAAAAAAUAAAAUAUUUUUAAAACACAAAAACAAAUUGAGUUUUAAUCUUUUUACAUUAACUUCUAAUUCUCUUUUUCUGUUUUUCUUUGUUCAACAUCUGAGAAAUUAUAAAUUAUAUUAUGUUCAAGUUUUUCUGGUCAGAUUAUGUUCCUUAAACUAUGUUUAAAAGUUCAUUAAUGGUAUAAUGUUGCUAAUGAAAGUACAGUUGAAGUGGUACAUUUUCAUAAGAAGUCCUCGUAAAAGCACCCAUUUUAUUGAUAGUUUGAAACUAAAUCCAUUUCAUCAUCUUUUGCAAUUUCUUGCAAAAGGAAACUUGGUGUAUUUCGAUGAAAAUAUAUUUGAUCUUUCCCACAAUGAAAGUGGAUGACUUGCUUGUUUCUUAUAGAAUAUGCAUCUGUAUAUAAAUAAAAACAUAUUAAUCUAAAAACAUAAGUGGUUAUGUGAAGUUUUAAUAUGUGAUUUAUAUUAUAUUUUAGAAUAUAUUUUGUGUGAUUAAUUAAUUUUAAUUAGAAUAAAAAAUGAGAAUAUUACUCACAAUUGUUUUAACAUCAAAGCUUUAAUAAGAUAUUAAAUAACUAUAUAAAAAAAAUAUAAACCAUUAAAUAAUACUUUAAAAUAUUAUUUAUAUUAUUUUUAACGCUUUUCAGCCAAGAUCAAAACCUCGCAAUAGGAACUGGUUUUAGUAGGCCACACAUUACCCCUCUAACAAACUAGAUGUUUUUCCUAAUUUGCCACCCAAACUAAAAUUCCUAAAGUUCAACCCUGAUCAUUCACUGACUGGUUGCUCACCGUCGGAUUUCCAACCUGAAAUGCAGAACCACUGCAAUAAUGUUGAAUAUGUCCCUGAAAAGCUAAACUUAUUGUAUUUCCAUGGAAAUAUAUUUUGAUCUUUCCCACAAUGAAAGCAAGUAAUAUAUAUAUAUAUAAAAUUUAAAAUUGUUAUGUAAAAUUUUAAAAUGUGAUUUAUAUUAUUUUUUAAUAUAUAUUUUAUGUGAUUAAUUAAUUUUAAUAAAAAUAAAAAUAAAAAUAAUAAGAUUUGAAUUCGUGAUUGUUUAAGCAUCAAAGCUUUAAUAUAAUAUUGAAUAACUAUUUAAAUAAAAUAAUUUAGACCAUUAAAUAAUUUUUUAAAAUAUUAUUUAUAUUAUUUUUUAAUAUUUUUCAGCCACACGUAUCAAAAGCUCGCAAUGGGAACUGAUUUCAGUGUGCCACACAUUACCUAUCCAUGUUCUAAAGGUUCUAGCUGCAAGUUUCAUGCUUUGCCCUGUUUUAAUGAGGAUAUAUUCUGAAUUUCAUUUUAGAAAAGCUUUAUUUUAUUAUUUUUUAUUUAAGAAAAGGUUAUGAUGUAAAACGUGAUGGAACUUCUAUUGGAUAAAAAAUAAUGUGAAAAAACUUCAUCCCUGAUAGUAGACAUCUCUCAUUUGAGUCACACAUUCAUACAUAUCAAUUUUUAUUUAAUAAAACUUUGUUAUUUUGGACAAGAUUUCUGUUAAAAAAAGAGAGUAUAUUUUGGAUAGUAAACCCGAUUAAAGAAUGCUGGGCACUUUAGUAACCUAAUUGAAAAUGAUAUUUAGUUUCAGGAUUUUAAAAGUGUUUAAAAUUAUGAUAAAGGAUUCUUUUCAAAAUAUUUUUUUAUUUGAAAAUAUAUUAAAAUAAUAUUUUUUAUAUUAACAAAUCAAAAUAAUAAAAAAAAUACUAAAAAUAUUCAAUUGAAGCUUUUAAAAUAAAUUUUAAAAUUUUAAAAAGUGUUGUUCAUCAAUUGAUAGGUGGCGAACUAAUUAAAGUUAAGGAAAUUCAAGUUCCGAAUCCUCAACUAACUCCAUUUUCUACCUUUUAAAAUUGCUCGGCCCAGCCCAGCCCAACUAUCACCAACACCAUGUAACUAACUUAAUUUCGCGCCAAUCCUCAACAUCAACGGCCCCCCUGGUCUCAGUUCCCGCCGUCCAGUUCUCCACACCAAAUCUGUCCAAGGUCACUCGUUGUUCCCCUCAAUCUCUCAUGCACAUUCAUAUGCAUCGAUGGAAUUAGGGUUUAGGUCGCUGUAAUAGUUUAGUUUUCAGGCUGAAAUGUAACAAAGACCGAUUUGAUUUCACUUUCAUGUAUUAGAAACUCAUUUGACUUGUUCAAGAAAUCGGAUUUGAGGUGGGUUUUAUACAAUUUUCCGAGAUUAACUUCUUCUUUUUUGUGUGUUUCUGGUUUGUUAAUUGUGGUUGUUGAUGGAAGUAAUUGGUAAUGUAGUUUAUGUAGUUGUAGAAAGUCUCCAGUCAACACGUUCAUUGAUUGUUUCAAACUUGAGCAAAUCAUAUCCAUUGCUGACUGUUUGAUGGUUAAUCACUAGUCUUGUUUAACAAUUUUUUCAAGGAUCUUUAAAUAAUCUCUCACUCUCUGCCUGUCUCUCAACUUUUGGAUGUUGCAUUAUUACUUUGGGUUUUUCUUUUGAUGGUACAACAAUUAACAAAGAGAUAUUUGAAACCACAAUCCAACAAUGAACAAAGAAAUAUUUCAAAAUCGCAACACAGUUUUGAUCAGAUUUUUUUUUUUAAUUAACGUGGGUAUCCGAGCUACUUUGCAGGCACCUCGACUAACUUCACGGGCCCUGAAGUUAACGACCAUGUAAGUUUCCAGUAGCCAUCAUAUAAGCAAUCACAGUACUCGAACUAGAAACCACAGUGAAAAUAAAUUUUUUAGUUACAAGCUCUUAUUACUAGACCACUUUGUUUUGAUUAGAUCUUUUGCGAUCUUUGGAUAUGAAAUCUUAUCUUUUCUUCAAUCUUUAGGGAGUAUACAAAAGCAACCCCACAAUCUUAUAUUUUCUUCCAUCUUUUAUAUCUUUUCUUCAAUCUUUAGGGAGUAUACAAAAGCAACCCACAAUCUUAUAUUUUCUUCCAUCUUUUAUGUCCAUUCAUCUAAUUUGAGCCAAUCUUCUCUGGCGUGUGAUUCCCGAUUUGUCAAGUCUACAACGUGUGAAGCCCACGCGGAUUGGCCAGUGCGGGACAAAGACAUAUACCGGGCAAAUUCAAGUUGAUGAAUGUUUGUCUUCAAAUCACAGCCAUGUUCCUUCUCUGAAACUUCAAUUGCUUUAAUAGAGGCAUAGUUAGUCAAGUCUGCACUGUGUAGAGCCCAAUCAAUAUAUAGUUAUAGAACUGCAGUUUUCAUAUUUUAAUAUAAUUAAAACCACCACAUUAAUUACAAUUAAAUUGCCAAAAAAAAAAAAAAGCUAGCAGUAAAACACUUUGAUGCAAGAAACAUUCUACUAUUCAAUAUAACAGUAUAAUUACACUUUUAUUAUUCUAAAAAAAACUAGCAAAGUUUCUUCUAAUCGGGGUAAAAUCAACUUUUCUACUGAUCAAUUAUGCAUUACAACAUUGAAUGGUAACAAAUUAGUCCAUACACUUUUCUUUUCAUGGUGAAAUGAGUUUAUUGUUGAGUUUCUUCAAAAAUAUAAACGCAAUAAAAAUAGUAAAACAAAAUUAUUUUGAAGUCCUUAAGAUCCCGUUAGAUAAAUCUAGAAUUGUUUUAAAAUUUAUUGCCUAAACAUUUAAUUGUCUAGUAUCCAACGAUAAUUUACAUGAACCACUAGUGAUAAAUCUUCUAAAUCUCUAAUUAGAAGAGAGAGAAAUUGUUAUGCUUAGAGUAUUAGCUCUAAUUUUAUGUUUACAUAGUUUUUUAAUCUAAUUGACAAUCUCAUAAAAAAUAAAAAGGCAUAACUUCCUAUUUAUAGAGAAAUAUAAAAAAAUCCAUAUAAAUUAGUAAAAUAUCAAUUUGUCCCCUGAAUAAUAUCCAUAUAGUAAUUAAAAAAAUUAGAAAUUAACUCAAUCAAGCACUUAUUUGAUUUUUCUAGAUCUAGAAAUAUAAUCCUUGUAUUAAUUAUAUUCUAGUUGUUAACUUCUAAAAUAUAUUUUAAUCAAGUCAUACAAAAUGUGUAGGUGAGGUGCGUGCUCACAAUAAAUGUGUGGUGGGCUUCGAUGAGCUUUUUUUUUUUUUUUUUCCUCUCUCUUUUCUUUAUCUUAGCUUAGAAAUUCAUGCCAGUCCUUCCAAAAAUUGAUUGUGUCCUCUAGUUUCUAUUUCUAUCUAUUUUAGUUCUCAUUUAUUUUGAUUGCUCUUUUUUUUUUUUGGUGUUUUACCCUUUUCUUGAUUUGUUUUUUUUUUUUCCUUCAUCAUUUUAUUUCCGUUAAUUGUUUUUAUUCAAGUUUGAUCCUCAUUCUUUUGAUUUCUUUCUUUUUAUUACUUUCUUGAUUUAUUUUUUUUUAUUAUUUUUAACACUCAACAUUUUGUUUCAUUUAAUUUCUUUAUUAAAUAAUAGUUCUCAUUAUUUUUAUUGCUAUUUUUUUAAUUUGUUUCCUUAAUUUAUUUUAUUUUUCAAUUUAAUUCCUAAUUAAUUUUUCAUUUGGUUUUUAUAUCAUAUUUGAUCCUUAUUAUUUAGAUUACUAUUUAAAAAAAAAAACCUUAUGAUUGGAAAUAUUACCUCGUUAGUUUUUUUUUUGUGUGUUUACCUUUCCGCACAUAAUCAUAUUCUCAUGAUUUGGAUUUUGAAUAUUAGCCCAAUUUAAGUUAGGUUUUUUUUUUUUGUCAUUUACUAAUUUUGUUUUUCAAUUUUAUCAUUUGAGACUGGGUUAUUGGAGUUUGAGCUUUGUUAUUUAUUCAACUUUUAUUAUUUUGAGUUUAUCUCGACUUUAUAUCUUAGAUGAAAGAUUAAUCGAGUUAACCCGAGUUUAUUAAUAUUUUUUUAUUAAAUUGCUUUUAAAAAAUUAAUUUUUUUAUUAUUAUUGAUUUGAGCUUUGUGAGUCUAUCUCGAUCAUGCUAUUGGUUGCAAAAUUUCUUUGUGGAGAGCCACCUAAAGGACGUUCUUGACUUUGAUCCCACAAUCUUAUAUUUUCUUCCAUCUUUUAUGUCCAUUCAUCUAAUUUGAGCCAAUCUUCUCUGGCGUGUGAUUCCCGAUUUGUCAAGUCUACAACGUGUGAAGCCCACGCGGAUUGGCCAGUGCGGGACAAAGACAUAUACCGGGCAAAUUCAAGUUGAUGAAUGUUUGUCUUCAAAUCACAGCCAUGUUCCUUCUCUGAAACUUCAAUUGCUUUAAUAGAGGCAUAGCUAGUCAAGUCUGCACUGUGUAGAGCCCAAUCAAUAUAUAGUUAUAGGACUGCAGUCUUCAUAUUUUAAUAUAAUUAAAACCACCACAUUAAUUACAAUUAAAUUACCAAAAGAAAAAAAAAUAAAAGCUAGCAGUAAAACACUUUGAUGCAAGAAACAUUUUACUAUUCUUUAUAACAGUAUAAUUACACUUUUAUUAUUCUAAAAAAAACUAACAAAGUUUCUUCUAAUAGGGGUAAAAUCAACUUUUCAACCGAUCAAUUAUGCAUUACAAAAUUGAUUGCUAAGAAAUGAGUCCAUACACUUUUUUUUUAUGGUGAAAUGAAUUUUGUUGAGUUUUUUUGAAUAAUAUACACGCAAUAGAAACAGUAAAAUAAAAUCAUUCGGGAGUUCCUGUAAUCCCAUUAAACAAAUCUAGAGUUAUUUAGGGAUUUAUUACCUAAAUAUAUGAUCUUCUUUGGCUUUGAAUAAUUCUUUAAAGAUUGAGUUAUUACAAAUCACAAACCAUCUAAUUGUCCUACAUCCAUUAGUAAUCCACACGAACCACCAAUAUAAAAUCUCUUAAAUUCAUAAUUAAGAGAGGGGGAUUGUUAUGUCUAGAAAGUUGACUCUAAUUUUGUGUUUAUGUUGUUUUUCUGUUUAAUUGACAAUCUUAUAAAAAAUAAGAGGCAUAACUAACUAUUUAUAAGAAAAUCUGAAAAAACCUUAUAAAUUAAAAAAAAUAUCAAUUUACCCCUUUAAUAAUAUCCAUAUAUUAAUUCAAGAUAAUUUUAGAAAUUAACUCAUCAAGUACUUCCUUGAUUUUUCUUAGUCUAGAAAUAUAAUCCUUGUAUUAAUUAUAUUCUAGUCAUUAGUUUCUAAAAUAUAUUUUAAUCAAGUCAUACUUAAUUAAAUAAUCCUAGUUUAAUUUCUACCUGAAGGUUUUUAAUGUGCGUCACCUAUUAAGUUUUUAAUAUGUUGGUCCAAAUAUAAAUUAUAAUUAUAAUUAAAUAAAUUAAAUAAUUUAAUUUAUUAUUAAUUCAACAAUUGAUUAAUUUAUAUUUGAAGACAAGGUGCAACAUCUAUUAUUGUGUCAUGAUUUUCUAAAUAUUAGAAAAGUCAUCAGUGGUUUGACUUAACCUUCUAGUGACAUGUUUCUCAGUAUAAUUGGUAUCCUUUCAUCAAUAAUGUUUUGAUUUAACAUUAAAGUAUGGAGUAUGUCUGCUAUGUUAAAUCAUGUUUAUUAUCUACAUAAUAGUCAUUUAUCAUUUAAAUAAGAUUUAGAACUUUUUUCAAAUCUCAUUCCACCUUAAUGAAGAAUUUCUCUAUAUUUACUAUUUGAGAACAGAUAAAACAUUUUUUUAAAUUCACUUAGGCUGAUGAAUCCUUUCUUUAUCACCCAAUUAUUAUUUAUUUUUUUUAAGAAUAGUGAAGUGACAAAAUUGCCUUUAAUAUAUAUAUAUAUAUAUAUAUAUAUAUAUAUAUAUAUAUAUAUUGCUCUAAGGGGGUUUUUGUAUUUUUAUUUUUUUUUAUUUUUAGGUUGACCAGGAGGCUGUUUAGUAAUUUUAAAAAAUAAAUAUUAUAAAAAAAUUAUUGACAUAUGCAACUCACGUGUCAGCACAUACAAUGCCAUUAGGUGACCAAAAUCAGCCAUCUGCAAUGAUGUUUUGAGUAGCGCAUUAUCCUCUUUGCAUUGGUGAGGUGCAUGUUAACAUUAGAGAUACAGUUAGGCUCCAAUAAGCUUUUUUUUUUUUUUUUCCUCUCUCUUUUCUUUCUCUUAGCUUAGAAAUUCAUGUCAGUCCUUCCAAAUAUUAAUCGUGUCCUCUAGUUUCUAUUUCUAUCAAUUUUAAUUUUAAUUUUUUUAUUAUUUGUUUUGAUUUUAAUACCUUUUGAAGUUUUUUUAAAAACAAAAUUCAUACCUAGACAUUUUGUUUCAUUUAGUUUUUGUAUCCAAUUUUAUCCUCAUUCUUUUGAUAGCCUUUUUUAUUUUUUUGUGUUUUACCCUUUUCUUGUUUUUUAUUUUUUAUUUUUUCCCUCAUCAUUUUAUUUCCUUUAAUUUUUUUUUAUUCAAGUUUGAUCCUCAUUCUUAUUAUUUUGAUUUAUUUAUUUUUAUUAUUAUUUUUAACCCUCCACAUUUUAUUUCUUUUUAUUUCUUCAUCCAAAAAUGGUUCUCAUUAUUUUUAUUACUAUUUUUUAAUCUUUCUUCUUAAUCUAUUUUAAUUUUUAAUUUAAUCCCUAAUUAUUUUUUUAUUUGGUUUUUUUACCAUAUUUGAUUAUUAUUAUUUUGAUCAGUUUUUUUUUUGUUUACCUUUUUGCACGGUAAUCAUAUUCUUAUGAUCUAGAUCAUUAGUUUCAAAUAUUAGCCUAUAUUUGAUCCUUAUUUUUUUUAAUUUAUGUUUUUUUAUCAUUUUAAUUUUAUCAUUUGACAUUAGAUUAUAGGGCUUUGAGCUUUGUUAUGUUUUUUUUUCACUUUCUUUUUCUCAAGGUUAUCUCGAUCUCAUAUCUUAUGUCACGUGUCGCACCCUAAAAAAAAUCCAAUUGCGGGUUCGACUGGCGACUUUUCAUUUUGGUUUUUGCUGAUUUGGUUCUUUAGAGCCGUCACCUAGUAUUUUGGUCAUUAGGAACCCUAACUGGUCUUUUAAAGAUUCUAAGGUAAGGGACUGAUUGCGUAAAGGGAAGGUAUUAGCACUCCUAGUACGCCCUACCUAAGGUAAGCUGCUUGAUGUUUGGUUUGCUCUUAUAAUCUAUGGUGUUGGUGUUUUUUAGUCUCGUCAAUUGAUUUUGGAUAGAAAUAUAAGGAGAUUCCAUGUGCUUUGAAAGCUCAUUUUUCCCUUAGUAUUUCAAAAGUUUGCGACUCGUAAAUCGUGGAGUAAAAAAAAUUAAAUUUUGAAAUGUCCCCGAUUAUAAUCAAGGCUUCUUUCAAGAAUGUGUGCAGAUUUAUUACUCCUAAUAAUAUUUUGGAUAUUUAUCCUUUUAAGGAUUUCUUUAUCCAAACAUUAGCUGUAAAUAAUAAAUGAAUUUCCUCCCUAAAAAUAAGAUUUUUAUAGUUUUUGGAAUAUUGGCCAAUACCCUUUGGAGUUUUACAAACAUGUUGUAAAAUCCAGAAAUGCAAGAAAAUAAUUUGUGUUUAAGAAAUCAAUGCGAAAACACAUUUUCAAAGCUUCCAAUAUAUUUUUUUUUGUAAAAAGAACAUUCAAAACAUGUUAGAGUAUUGGCCGUAUGAAACACGCAAGAAAACUUUUUUUUUUUUUUUUGACAAAAACGGGGUAUUUUAAACACUGAAUUUGUAUCUCCACGGUAUAAAAAUACAAACCAAUGUAAAAAAAAUCAUAAAAAAAAUAUGCAAGAAAAAUCAACAAUAUUUUUAAGGAAAUUUUUUAGAAUUUUUGAAAGCAAACAGACAUUUUUUUUUCUUUGAAAAUCUGGAUGUCUUGACGAAAACCGGGUAUUUUAAACACUGAAUUUGUAUCUCCACAGUAUAAAAAUACAAACCAAUGUAUAUAAAAAAUAUAUAUAUGAAAAGAAAACAACAAUAUUUUUUAGACUUUUCGGAUUUUUUUUAUUUUUAUUUUUUUUAAAAAAAAUAAUAUAUAUAUAUAUAUAUAUACACACACACACACAUGCAUAGUAUAAUAUAAUAUAAUUAAAUAAAUAUAUUAAUAUAUUAAGUGGGCUGGGCCGGCCCAACUAACUUGGCCGGAUCCAGCCCCAAAAGUCGUUGGGCCGAACUCGGCCCAAAAAGGAUUGGCCCGAUCUCGGCCCAACGAACUAAUUAACCUCGGUCUGGGCCGGACCCAACCCAAACCGCCAGAUUGGGCCAGAAUCCCUCUGGCCCGUCCCGCAUAGUUUUGGGCCAGACACCAUCUGGCCCAGAGAAGGGAAAAGAGAGAGCACGGGGGGGGGGAAUUAUUUCCCCCCCCGCCUCUUGCAUGCAGAACGACUCUACAUGCAGGAGGCAAAACUGAUGCAGGUUUCGAAAAAAAAUACAGGGGGGAAAGGAAGCGUACCUGGGGCGGCGGAGACGGUGGCUGGCUGGCGGUGCUGCGGUGGAGGCGGUGGCAGCGUCCUAGCUCACGGACGGCGACUCCUCACGGUGAUUUCGAAACAAUCCGGCGACACCCUCUCGCUUCGUUUUCUUCGUUUUUGUUUUCUAAAUUCCCUCCCAACGUUAAACUUUCACUCUUCUCUUGGUUUUUUUGGGGUUUUCGGUGGCUCUCUCUCCUCGGUUGGGUGUUUCUCUCUCUUCCUCUCUCUCUUCAUUUUUUAGUUCUCUUCGGGUUCCUCUCCUUUUUCUUUUUCUUUUUUCGUCCCUGUUUCUCUUAUUAUGUUCUCUAUUUAUAGAGCCAGGGGGCGUGGCUUCACCGUGGAGCCAAGGAGCGGCUGUCCAGGCGGACCUCCCUCGGUUUCGGCAGCGCGGCGGGUGGUCGACCAGUGUCUUCUGUCGGUGGUCCACCGGCGUGGGGCCUUGGUUGGUCGAGGGACCUACAAAAAAAUGUAAACAAUGCAAACUUUUCCUUCUUCCCCGCUGUAUGUUCAGGGGAAGAAGAAAGGUGAACAGUGCCGUUCAAAACGGCAAAGUUCGGUCUUCUCUUUUUUUUUUUUUUUAUGUAUGAAACGGCGUCGUUUUGGAGAAAACGCGCCGUUUCAUUUAAAAAAAAGGCGCCAGAACGUUUGUUUUUGAAUCAGUCCUUAAUCAUCUUUGUUCAAUUCAAUUUCGUCCCUGCCAAUUUCGGUCCGUCCCCAUAGUUGGCCGCGUUUUCCACUUUGGUCCUUGGCCUCUGAUUUAUGCAAUUUAGCCCUCAAUUGAUCAAUAAACUUCUAAUUUCUUCAAUUAAGCCCCCUGAAUCAAUUCCAAACAGCCCCCUCUAUCUUUGCGCCUUUUCCAAAUUGGUCCCUGGUUUCGGAUUUUCACAAUCAAGUCCCUAAUUGGCCAUUAAACUUCAAUAUUUAUGCAAUUAAGCCCCUGAUUUGACCCAAUAAAUUCCUAAAAAUUAUAAUAUGGCCCCAGAACUUUAAUUUCUUCUAAUUAAAACUCAAAUUGACUUAAAAAUCAAUUUUUCUUGCAAUCAAAUCCCCUAUAAAUUCAAAUAAAAAUCCAAUUAAGUCCAUAAACAUCCAAAUUUGGGCUUUUCUCCUCAAAAUUCAAAUUUUCCUUCUCAAUAGGGCUCUCAUCCUUCAAGAAUAUAUUGUCAAAAAAUCCGCCUUUGCCUUUUUAAAUUCCUUGACCAAUUUUGUGACCAUUUCUGAGCGCUUCUGCCUCCUAUUAUUUUUUCUAACCUCUUUUGGCUAUUUAUUUUAUUUUUUAUGGGGACUCAAAAAUGGGUUACAAUAGAUGCCCCCUCUUUAUAAUACUUACGGAGCAGGGGUUUUGCGCAGUAAGUGUUAUAAAGAUAAACUCAAAACAGAACUCCCGAAACUGAUCUGGUCGAAGCUUGAUUGAUCUGAAACUUUGUUUUUUACAACAAUCCUCCUUAGCCCAAAAACUAUGAUCAAAACUUAGCCAUCUCGAGAUCCUUAUCCGGCGAUCCUCUGAAUAUCGAAAUACGAGAUCCCUUCUGGCGAUCUCCUUUUAACUUGGAAUCCCAUCUGGCGAUUCCUUUACCCAUAACCAAUACAAAAAUGCGUGUGUGGUCUCAUUAUGAUGGGUGACCAGCUCGAGUGGGAAAUGGAAAGAGUGGUCUCAUUCUAUUGGGUGACCUACCCAGGGGAAAGAGUGGCCUCAUUAUUAUGGGUGACCUACCCAGGUAAAAAAAAAAUGGAGAAUGGUCUCAUUCUUAUGGGUGACCUACCCAGGAGAAAAAAAAAAUAAUGGUCUCAUUGUGAUGGGUGACCUACCCAAGGAAAAAAAAAGGAAGAGUGGUCUCAUAUUUUGGGUGACUUACCCAGGGGAAGAAUGGCCUCAUUCUUAUGGGUGACCUACCCAGGUAAAAAAAAAAUGGAGAAUGGUCUCAUUCUUAUGGGUGACCUACCCAGAAAAAAUUAUGGUCUCAUUCUUAUGGGUGACCUACCCAGAAAAAUAAUGGUCUUAUUGUGAUGGGUGACCUACCCAAGGAAAAAUAAUGGUCUUAUUGUGAUGGGUGACCUACCCAGGAAAAGGAAGAGUGGUCUCAUUCUUAUGGGUGACCUACCCAAAAAAAAUAGAAGUGUUGGUCUCAUUGUAAUGGGUGACCUACCCAGAAAAAUGUUGAGGCUCAAAGGCACACUCGAAAGAGGUAGGGUUUAGAAAACGCACUACCCGAGAAGUGAGGGCUCAAACGCGCACUCGAAAAGAGGUAGGGUUAGAAAACGCACUACCAAAAGUGAGGGCUCAAAGCGCACUCGAAAAGAGGUAGGGUUAGAAAACGCACUACCCAAAAAGUGAGGGCUCAAAGCGCACUCGAAAAGAGGUAGGGUUAGAAAACGCACUACCUGAGAAAUGGUGAUGAAAUCCCGAUCUGACAAAUGUUGAAAGCAAUAUUAUGGUUAAUAUGCAUGUAUGUUUUUGUUACCUAUCUUGGAAACAUAGGUCCCCCUUUCGUCGUAAACCUCUUCGCUCUUGUUUCAAGCUUUUCUCAUGAACCGAAAUAUCCUUCAUAUCCUUUUAGUGAAGAGAUCUUGGUUCCUUAUGGGGCCCUUUCUUGCUCCAUUGAGUUUUGCCAAAGGAAAAAUUGGUUUUGUUCAUGAAAACUGAAACUUUUAAUGCAAUUAGCAAUUUUAUAAAAGAUGCUUUUUUAGAAGUUUUUAUUAUGAUAUCCCUUUUGGGCUUGGGUUUACUAUGGACCCUUAUGUGCACUUCGUGCACCUUUUGCCCCCUAGUGUGAUGUGCAACUAUAUGUCAAGUAGAUUUGAUUUGGUUCACCAAUUGAUGGAGUCAUCUUCUUAGUCAUGCCAAAAAAAGUUCUUUUGAACAAAAGAUUUCAAAUGCUAUGAGAUCAUAUGUUAUAUAUAUAUAUAUAAAAGGACUCUUUACAAAGAGAAUUCAUGGCCGAAAUUUAUUUUUAUUGACUGGGAAAUUACGAAAUACAUCAAGCGUAGUAUUUCUUUACAGAGUCGGAAUUCACAGGCCUAGCUAGAUCUUCUCCAUCCAUUCUAGACAGUAACAAAGCUCCUCCUGAGAAUGCUUUCCUCACCACGUACGGCCCCUCGUAGUUAGGUGCCCAUUUACUCUGAUCUUCUCCAGGUAAAGGUAAUAUUUUCUUUAGCACAAGAUCUCCUUCGUGGAAUCCUCGAGGUCGAACCUUCUUGUCAUAUGAUUUAGCCAUCCUUCUUUGGUAGAGUUGAUGAUGACAGAUCGCGGCUAUCCUCUUUUCACUGAUCAGAUUCAACUGUUCAUAUCUAACCUUUGCCCAUUCUAACUCUUCCAGCUCAGAGUCUAACAACACUCUCAAUGAUGGGAUUUCCACUUCUAAAGGCAUCACCGCCUCCAUUCCAUAUACCAACAUGUACGGGGUGGCUCCUGUUGAGGUUCGAACUGCGGUGCGAUAUGCAUGAAGGGCAAAUGGCAACAUCUCAUGCCAAUCCUUAUAGGUGACUACCAUCUUCUGAAUAAUCUUUUUGACAUUUUUAUUAGCAGCUUCUACCGCGCCAUUCAUCUUUGGUCUAUAUGGUGAAGAAUUGGAAUGCUUGAUUUUCCAUUUAGUGCAGAGCUCUAUUAUCAUCUUGCCGUUGAAAUUUUGAGCAUUAUCCGUUAUAAUCUUUUCUGGUGGACCAUACCGACAUAUCAAAUCUCUCUCAAUAAAUUUCUUCACUACUUUUUGCGUCACAUGAGCAAAUGACCCGGCUUCUGCCCAUUUUGUGAAGUAGUCGAUAGCCACGAGAAUAAACCUAUGACCAUUGCUGGCUUUUGGGUUUACCGGUCCAAUCACAUCAAUUCCCCAGAUCGCGAAGGACCAUGGAGAUGUUAAAUUAAACAGAGGAGCCGGAGGAGCAUUGAUUUUGUCACUGUAUACUUGGCACUUAUGACAUUUCCGGACAUAAUCGAUACAAUCCUUCUCUAAUGUCAUCCAAAGUACCCGGCUCUUUGUAUCUUCCUGGCCAUCACAUGUCCACUAGCAUGAGUUGAGCAAAUCCCUUCAUGGACUUCCCGUACUGUGCUUUUUGCCUCAAAUUCAUCCAAACAUCUCAACAAAGUCCCGUCAGAUGAUUUCUUAUACAAAAUCUCCCCAUCAAGAUAAAAAUCCAUUGCCAACCUUCUCAAGGUCUUCUUGUCGAUUUUGGAUGCCCCCAUGGGAUAUGCCUGGUUUUGGAUGAAAUUCUUGAUAUCAUAGUACCACGGGUUUCCAUCCACUUCUCUUUCGACUGAGCAACAAUGAGCGGGGUUAUUUCUGAUAUUGAUGUGUACUGGCUGUACCUUGUGCCCAAAGUCUAUCUUGGCCAUAGAUGCUAGUGUGGCCAAAGCAUCUGCAAACUGGUUCCCUUCCCUUCCCAGAUGGGUGAACUCUAUUUCCUCAAAUUCUUUAGCCAGCUUAGACAGGUAUUCUUGGUAAGGCCUUAACUUCUCUUCUUUGGUUUGCCAUUCUCCUUUUACUUGGCAAAUGAUCAGCAUUGAGUCUCCAUACACAUCUAUCUUUUUGAUGUUCAUCUCUAAUGCAGCCUCUAAACCAAGAAUGCAAGCUUCAUACUCAGCCGUGUUGUUGGUGCACCCGAACUGCAGCUUAACUGAAACCGGAUACUGCUUCUUAUCAGGAGAGAUUAUCACUGCCCCCGCUCCGUUACCACAUACAUUUACAGCACCAUCAAAGUACAUAACCCACCAAUCUGAUUUCUCUUCCUCGAUUGCAAACACAUCUUCAUCGGGAAAGUCAAAGUUUAACGGCUCAUAAUCUUCCAUAGCAUGGUCAGCCAGGUGAUCGGCAAUAACACUCCCUUUCACGGCUUUCCUUGUCAUAUACACUAUGUCAUAUUCAGCCAAAAGAACUUGCCAUCUUGCAAUUCGGCUAGAUAGAUAAGGUUUUCACAAAUGUACCUUAAUGGGUCUAACUUGGAAAUUAACCAUGUAGUGUGAUACAACAUAUACUGACGUAAUCUCUUUGUAGCCCAUGCUAGUGCGCAGCACAGCUUCUCAAUCACAGUAUACCUAGACUCAUAUUCCGUGAACUUCUUGCUUAGGUAAUAAAUGGCCCUUUCCUUCCUUCCGGUUUCAUCAUGUUGCCCAAGCACACAUCCCAUUGCUGUUUCGGUUACUGUUAGGUAUAAAAUCAAUGGCCUUUCUGGUACGGGAGGAACAAGCAGAGGUGGAUUUAGCAAGUACUGCUUGAUUUUCUCAAAAGCUUUAUCACACUCUUCAUUCCAUAUUCCAGGGUUCUUCUUCCUCAACAAACGAAAGAUCGGGUCACAAGUCGCGGUUAAAUGGGAUAUAAACCGAGCGAUGUAAUUCAACCUUCCUAAGAAACCUCUCACCUCCUUCUCAGUCUUGGGGGGUGGCAUAGAUUGAAUAGCUUUUACUUUUUCAGGAUCCACUUCUAUCCCUUUGUCACUCACCACAAAUCCCAACAGCUUACCGGAUUUCACCCCGAAUGAACACUUUGCUGGGUUAAGCCUCAACUUAUAUUUCCUUAAUCUUUCAAAUAAUUUCUUCAAUACUUGGACAUGAUUCUCUCCCUCUUUAGAUUUAGCAACCAUGUCAUCCACGUAUACUUCAAUCUCUUUGUGCAUCAUGUCGUGAAACAAAGUCACCAUAGCCCUUUGGUAAGUGGCCCCAGCAUUCUUUAAACCAAAUGGCAUGACUUUGUAGCAAAAGGUUCCCCAUGGUGUUACAAAGGUUGUCUUCUCCCUAUCCUCUGGCGCCAUUCUUAUCUGAUUGUAGCCUGAAAACCCAUCCAUGAAGGAAUAUGUGGAGCUGCGUGCUGCAUUAUCAACUAACAUAUCUAUGUGUGGUAAAGGGAAAUUAUCUUUAGGGCUAGCCCGGUUUAAUCCCUAAAGUCCACGCAAACUCUGAUUUUACCUUCCUUUUUGGGUACCACCACUAUGUUUGACACCCAUUGUGGAUACUUCACUACUUCCAAAAAACCAGCGUCCCAUUGUUUUUCAAUUUCCGCCUUUACUUUGAUUAAGACCUCCGGAUGAGUUCUCCUUAACUUCUGCUUAAUCGGCUUGCAUCCUUCCAUCAGUGGUAUUCUAUGCACUACAAUGUCCGUAUCCAGACCAGGCAUAUCCUCGUAGGACCAGGCAAAGACAUCCACAUAAUCCUUGAGCAGUGCAAUCAACUCUUCCUUUGCUUCAGGGGUGAUCAAAGUCCCUAUCUUCAGCUCUCGCUUGAUUUCUUCAUUGCCUACAUUUAUGGUUUCAAGUUCCUCUUUAGCGGGCCUCCAAGCCUGUUCGUGUUGUUCUAUUAAUUUUGUGAAUUCCCAUAUGUUUUCCUCCUCCCAUUCCUCAUCUUCUACAGCCACUAUGUAUUCUUUAAAUUUUGGCCAUUCAUUCUCAAUGUAAAGUGCAGGUGUUGUUGUGGAGGAUCCGCUUUCAGAGUUCCUGAAAGCGGAAAGUGAUGUGUAAAUGCAUAGUAAGACAUCAAGAUGAAUUUUGAAAAUGCAUGAUCUCAUUAAAAAUAAAAGAUUGGCUCACAACAAAUAAAAUCCAAUUGACAUCUUGAGCCUCGAUUGUCAAUGAAUAAAAACAAAACAGAAAAAAGGCAAACAACAUAGAUAAAAAUAUAAUCCAACCAUCAUUGUUGAUUACAUUUUAAAAACCAAUGGAGCUUCUUGGGUCUCCCAAUUCUGGAACUUCUCCCCUUCGGCUAGCUUCCGGACAAAAGUCUUGACGGUGACUUCUUCCAAAGUGUGGAUGGUCAAUUGUGGCAGCUCUUCAAUCCUCCUUUCGGACUCGAUUUUCUCAGCAAUGUCCUUGACUUGAUUUUCCUCCAGAGUGUUUAUGUUCAUUGAAGAAAGCUUUUGAAAGAGGUCUCCAUGUCCCCCAUCAGGUUGUAUCACAUAUGCGGCCUUUGGAAAUGAAAUCCUGAUUGGAGGGAUGGCUAAGUUUUCUUCUACAGGCUUCCUUCCUUCCAUCCUAGCCAUUCUCUUCUCCCUUCUUGCACCAGCAGCUCGUUUGUAAUCCUCUUUCUUGGGCUUAUAUCCAAGCCCAAACCUCUGUUCUGCAGCUUUCAAUUUGAUUAUACCCCUCCAUUCAGGCCUUCUUUGCUCCAUAUCAUAUGGGAAAGGAAUCUUGUUUUUCAAAAAGAUUUUAGCUGCCAUUUUAGUGGCUUCAGAGAUUUCUGGCUUCCUCAACACAGUGUUCUCGGGCACCCACUCGGUAUUCACAAUCUCAAAUGCAUGAAGGUUUCCGUCCCUACAAUCUUCUGCUUCAAUGAAUGGAACCGCCACAUUUCUUACCAUCGAUAUAGUCUCCUCAGCCUUAACAGUAACCAGGACACCGUUGGCAAUGUACUUUAAACAUUGAUGUAGCGAAGAGGUGACAGCUCCCGCAGAAUGUAUCCAUGGCCUUCCUAACAGCAUGCUAUAAGAAGGGUGGAUAUCCAUCACUUGAAGGGUUACUAGAAAGACUUGUGGACCCACAGCUAGUUCGACCUCAAUUGACCCUAUCACUUGCCUUGAUGAGCCAUCAUAUGCUCUCGCCGUUAUCACACUGGGCUGCAUAUGUGAGGGAUCUAUCGGCAUUUCAUCCAGCAUGUCGCACGUCAAAAUCCGCGCGACAUCUGCCGGCGAUUUUUAUUAUUUGUGUUUUGCUUGGUUCGUUGGAGUCGCCACCUAGUAUUAUGGUCACUAGGAACCUAAGAUCUGCGAGAGUCUGAGUAAGGGACUGGUUGUGCAAGGGGAAGACGCAUCACCCCCAGUGCACCCUACCUAAGGUAAGCUGCAUUGUUGUUUAAUUGUUUUUCUAGGUCGAAUUUCUAUUCGUUGGUCUUUCUAAGGUUCAAGGCAGAUCUCCCCUCAUGAGGAAGUCUCUACCUUAUUCGGUUAAAUCCUAACCAUUCUAAAGUCUUAAUUUAUUUACACCUUGUAUCUUUAAUAUUUGAGGGUGUACUUUAUCAUGUAAUUUUACACCUUUCAAAUAUUAAAGUCUACAUCUAGAUCCUAGAAAAAAAAGAUUGGAAAAAGGUUUUUGAUAUUUUGGCCAAACCCUAAUGGAUAAUCAUAAACUAGUUAUGAUAUCUAUUUUUUGGAUUUUUCAAAACGUGAGAAAGAUGCAAUUUUUCGAAAAAAACAUGCUUGGAAAAUUUUUAGGACUUGGCCGUAUGCAAUAAAAUAUUUUUUUAAAAAAUAUUUCGAAAAAGCCGGGUAUUUUAAUACCGGACUUAUAUCUUACAAUGUAAGUAUACAACCCAAUAUUAAGCAAACUUGGUGGAAAAAUAUUUGAGAAAACCACAAUUUUUAAAUGAUUUUUUUUUAAUAUUUUUUGAAAAUAAAAAAGAAAAACGAAUACAAAACUAAAAGGCAUGAACAGUGAACAGUGACGGCAUGAACAGUGACGCCGAAGAAGAAGAGGAAGGUGAGCGGACCACCUGGCGUGGCGGCGAUGGCUGGCUGGAGGAGGAGGACCUGAAGCUGGUGGUGGAAACGGCGGUGGAGUUAGCUGGAGCGGCUGCAGCUGGAAGAGGAAAAAAAAAGAAGAAAAUCUGCAGCAGGAAAAGGGAGGAAGGCUGGUUUUUUGGCUUACUUUGGACCCGCUUUUCUCCUCCCUCUAAGCACGAAAUUGGCUCCUAUUUAUAGGGAUGGAAAGAGAGUAAUCUUGUCUUCAACAGGGAAAAAGUCUCAGCCCUUGAUUCGACUUGAGGAAUCCAAGCCGUUGGUUCAAAGUGUGCACCUCGAACUGCAAAAAUUGGCAAUCCAAGGCUGCAGACUGCCCGAGGGUGCCACUUUGGGCCAAUAAACGGAGCCGUUUUCGAGUUGUUCGACCCGACCGGACCACUCUACGAGAUAGAGGGAUUGCAGGUGGACAUGGUGGUGCACGCUUUGUCGGAUUUGGGGAACAAACGAGGUAGAAAAUUCGCCUGGAAGUCUGCCACUCGGGCAGCUUUGCGGGGAAGAAGGUGAACAGUAACCAGCCGAUUUGUUUUUUUUUUUUUUUUUUUUCGUUUUUCAAUUUAGUCCGCGUUCUUUCAAAUUAGUUCAAUGGAACCCCUAAUUGACCAUAAACCUUUGAUUUAAUGCAAUUUUGGCCCCUAAUUUCAAUCAAUUCACUUGGUAAAAAUUAAAUUUGGUCUCUUAAAAUUCCAAUCUUCUUAAUUAAGCCUAAAUCAGGCUCCCAAAUUUAAUUUUUCACCAAUUAAGCCCCAAAUAAAAUUAAUUUGACCCACUUAAAGUAUAAUUAAGUCCUUGCACUUAAUUAAAUCCUUCAAUUAGACCUAAAUUAAUUCUUAAACAUAAUUAAAAUUUAAUUUGGCCCAUGAUUAAAUCAAAUUGGCCCAUUAAAAAUUUAAUUAUGUCAUUGGACUUAAUUUUUAUGCAAAUUCGUCCAAUAAUCGUUUAAUUUUACCUUCGAAUUUGCAUUUUUAUAUUCUUGGGCAUAAUAGGGUACAAUUAGGCCUUGAAAUUCCUCUAAAAAUUGCAGCUUUAUUUCCCAGUCUGCUCUCUCCACGUUGCCAGCCUUUAUUUUAUUUUUUGAUUUUUAUUUUGAAGAAAGAAAUUGAUUUUUAGGGAAUAACCCAGAAUUGGGUUAUGACAGUUGCCCCCCUCUUUACAAUGCUUACGGUAGAAGGUCUCUUAAGAGACUUUAGAUAGUAAGCGUUGUAAAGAAGAAAAAAGGAAGAUUUUUUUUUUUUUUUUUUUAAAUGGUCGAAUUGUCAUGGGUGACCUACCCGGGUGAAAAACACGAAGAUGUUUUAAAGAGGUGAAAAAUACAGAGAUUUUUCAAAGAGGUGAAAAAUACCGAGAUUUUUCAAAGUGGUUUUGUUGUAAUGGGCAACCGGCCCAAGAUGGAAAACGAAAAGAGUUUUCAAGGUGGUGAAAAAUACAAAGAUUUUUCAAAGUGGUUUUGUUGUAAUUGGCAACCGGCCCAGAUGAAAGGUUUUGAAAAAUACAAAGAUUUUUUCAAAGAGGUGAAAAAUGCAGAGAUUUUUCAAAGUGGUGAGAAAUGCGAAGAUUUCUCAAAAAUGAUCUUGUUGUGAUGGGCGACUUGCCCAGAUGGAAAGUGAUGAAAAAUGCAAAGAUUUUUCAAAGUGGUGAGAAAUACAAAGAUUUCUCAAAGUGGUGAAAAAUGCAGAGAUUUUUCAAAGUGGUUUUGUUGUAAUGGGCAACUGGCCCGAGAUGAAAGGUUUUGAAAAAUACAAAGAUUUUUUUCAAAGAGGCGAAAAAUGCAGAGAUUUUUCAAAGUGGUGAGAAAUGCAGAGAUUUCUCAAAAAUGGUGAAAAAUUUUGGAGGUGGUGAGAAAUGCAAAGAUUUCUCAAAAUGGUUUUAUUGUUAUGGGCAACCGGCCCGAGUGAAAAAGUUUGAAAGUGGGGAGAAAUGCAAGGAUUUCUUAAAAUGGUGAAAAAUACAUAGAUUUUUCAAAGUGGUGAAAAAUACAAUGAUUUUUUAAAAGUGGUUUUGUUGUAAUGGGCAACCGGCCCAAGAUGGAAAUGUUUUGAAAAAUACAAAGAUUUUUUCAAAGAGGCGAAAAAUGCAGAGAUUUUUCAAAGUGGUGAGAAAUGCGAAGAUUUCUCAAAAUUGUGAAAAAGUUUAGAGGUGGUGAGAAAUGCAAAGAUUUCUCAAAAUGGUUUUAUUGUUAUGGGCAACCGGCCCAAAUGGAAAAAAGUUUGAAAGUGGGGAGAAAUGCAAUGAUUUCUCAAAAAUGGUUUCAUUGUUAUGGGCAACCGGCCCAAAUGGAAAAGGUUUGAAGGUGGGGAGAAAUGCAAUGAUUUCUCAAAAAUGGUUUUAUUGUUAUGGGCAACCGGCCCAAAUGGAAAAAGUUUGAAGGUGGGGAGAAAUGCAAGGAUUUCUCAAAAAUGGUUUAUUGUUAUGGGCAACCGGCCCAAAUGGAAGAUGAAAAGAGUUUAGAAAAAAGUCUGAUUAUAAUGGGUGACCUGCCCGGGAGAAAAGGCAAAAUGUCUGAAAUGGACGACAUGAUAGGACUCGAUGGGGAACGAGGGCUGAAGAGCGUACUCGAAAGGAGAUAGGGUUCGAAAAACACACUAUCUAAGAGGUGAGUGCUCCAAGGCGCACUCUAAAGAAGGCAAAUAGGGCUAGAAAGCACACUACACAAGAGGUGAGGGCUCGAAGGAGCUCUCAAAAGGAGGCAAGGUUGGAAAAUGCACUACCUAAGGGGUAAGGGUUCAAAGGAGCAUUCAAAAGGAGGUAGGGUUGGAAAACUCACUACCUAAAGUGGUGAGGGCUCGAAGGAGCAUACGAAAGGAGGUAAGGUUAGGAAACGCACUACCUAAAGUGGUUGAAGGCUCUAAAACGCACUCAAAAGGGGAGGUAGGGUCAGAAAACACACUACCUAAAGGGGUUGUUAGCUCGAAGGCGCUCUAAAAAAGAGGCAGGGUUGGAAAACGCACUACCUAAAGGGUUGAUGGCCCUAAGGCGCAUACGAAAGGAGGUAAGGUUAGGAAACGCACUACCUAAAGUGGUGAGGGUUCAAAGGAGCAUUCGAAAGGAGGUAAGGUUGGAAAACGCACUACCUAAAGUGGUGAGGGCUCAAAGGAGCAUCCGAAAGGAGGUAAGGUUGGAAAACGCACUACCUAAAGUGGUUGAUGGCCCUAAGGCGCACUUAAAAGGAGAUAGGGUUGGAAAACGCACUACCUAAGAUGUGAGGGCUCCAAGGAGCAACCAAAAGGAGGUAGAGUUAGAAAACACACUACCUAAGGUGGUUAAUGGCCCUAAGGCGCACUUAAAAUGAGGCAAGGUUAGAAAACACACUACCUAAGGUGGUUGAUGGCCCUAAGGCGCACUUAAAAGGAGGUAGGGUUGGAAAACACACUACCUAAGAGGUGAGGGCUCGAAGGAGCUCUCAAAAAGAGGCAGGGUUGGAAAACACACUACCUAAAAGGGUUAGGGCUCGAAGGCACACUAAAAAAGAGGUAGGGUUAGAAAACACACUACCUAAGGGGUGAGGGUUAAAAGACGCUCUCAGAAGGAGGUAGGGUUGAAAAACACACUACCUAAAAGGUUAGGGCUCGAAGGCACACUAAAAAAGAGGUAUGGUGUUAGAAAACACACUACCUAAGGGGUGAGUGCUCCAAGGGGCACUUAAAAAGAGGCAGGGUUGGAAAACACAUUACCUAAGAGGGUUAGGGCUCAAAGGCACACUAAAAAAAGAGAUGAUGGUGAGACACCGAUCUGUCAAGGAUGAAAGUAAUGCAUCAUGAUCAAUAUGCAUGUAUACUUACCUGAGAAGUAUAGGUCCACUUUUCCUCAUAGAGUUCUCCUUUUCUCAAAAGUUUGAGUCUCUGAUGGUACGCUUUGAUGGCUUUUGUCCCCCUUGCUUACUCGAGAAAUAUCUUACGAUCUUGUCCUCUAGGAAAGACUUGAUGCCAUCAUUUCUUUGUUCUCCGCCCCUUUUAUCUCAAAGGCUGUAAGUUUUGCCCAAUAGUUUCUUAGACAGGGAAUCAUGGAGCCAGCCCUACCAGAUGUUUUUUUGAUUUCCCCCUAGCUUGAUCAUGCCCCCAAGUAUUCAAUUCAGGUUUGGGGAUGAGGCUAUAUGAAGGAAGGUUUGGUUUUUGACAAGGAGUUGUUUUCAUGUAGAAUUUUUGGAAUUUCAAAGUUAUUCCGAACACAGAAAUCAUUUUGACCUUGAUUCAAAGCAAACUCAUUCUGAAGAAAUUCAAAUGAUUCCUAUGGAGAGGUUUUCAAAAGUGAUGAAAACUUUUUGUUUCGAUUUUGGUGAAAAAAUAUGAAGUGACAUUUGGUUGGUCACAAAAAGUUGAAAUUUCAAUUUGUGGGUUAUUGAGAACCAUUGGCGAAAAUAUGAUGAACAUGAAGUGACAUCUGGUUGGUCACAAAAGGUUUAAAUUUCAAUUUGAGGGUUAUUGAGAACCGUUUUCAAAGCAGUCAUUUUAUUUGCAUGAAUAAUGAUUUUAUUUUGCAUGAGAAAGCACUGCCUACCGAUCCAGAUUGCUUGCCUUUGAUCAGAAAGGGCUUGAUUAGGCACGUAAUGUAGGCUUGGGCUUUUGGCUAUGAAGAAAUGAUAUUUGUAGGCUCAAAAGGUGUUUGAGGGACUUUAAGACUAAGGAUCACUAGUGCUUAUAUCCCAAACUCUUUUGUUCAUACAUUUAUGGACCUUGGAAUUGAUUUGUAAAAUGGUCCACGGUGCCCCCCAAUGUUGGGCUUGGGCUCUUUCUCUUUGUUUUUGUUUUCUUCAUUUGAUUUUGAGCAUCAUUGCAUUGGCCUUGUUUUUUUUGCUCAAAAUUUUUGGAUCCUUUGGAUUUUUCUUCAUGCCCCCUAGCUUUAUAUGGGCACCUUUGAUGAUUGAGAAUUUUCUUUUAUGCCCCCCAGUAUUGUUUGGGCAUUUCAUCGUUGAAGACUUUUUCAUGCCCCCAAGAGUUAUUGGGCACUUUCAAUCAUUAUGGAUUUUUUUUUGCACUUGCCCCCCAGUGUAGGGUGUGAUCCUAGCCAAGGUUAUUUUUCAAGAAAAAUUUAUUAGGCUCAAAAGGGGACUGCAAAUGAUAUAUUUCAGCCUUGUGAAAGGAUUAUCAAAGAUGGCCUUUCUUCAUCUCAAAUGCAUGCAUUUAGGAUCGGUAAGCCUUGCUUUCAUGCGAGUAUGCAAAGUGAUUAUUCAUGCAAUCAAAACUCAGCUUUUGGAGUCACUUCAUGGUGUUUUUUUUUUGGUUUUCUAGGUGUAUGGUUACCUCUCUAAGGAAUCACCUGAAUUUCCAGAACUCGUAUAUUUCGGACAAACAUCAACAUGAUUUCUGUUUUUGUACUAAACUUUGAAUUCCCAAAAAUCCUUAUGAAAACAUGCAUAGUUUUGAAAAGAAAGGGAGAAACACGCCCAAAGAUUCUUGACGCAAUGGUUUCAUGCUUGAAGGUUAUGCUCAAUGUGUUAUAUUGCAUGAACAACAAAAAUGAAGGCAUGUGAUGAACACAGGAAAACACAAGAAAGGCUCAAUGGACAUGGAAAGUCUUGUGGAAUUUUGAGCCAAAUUGCCAACAAAAACUGGAGUAGGUUGAAAUAAAAAAUCAAGUUUUUGGAGGCAUGAUCAAACAGAGGUAGUUAUUUUGGCAGAGCAAGAACAGGCUCCAUUCUGCCAUGGUGAUGCAAUUCCCCUUCAGAUUAUAUUGAGGCUCUUGAUCAUGUGGGCCCCUAAUUUCUUCGGGUUGAGUCUUGGUUAGGGCUUGAACAAAAGUGAUAGGUCAAUUGGAAGGACCUUCACCAGAGGCAUUUCUAAGUGUAUGCUCGAGUAAGCUAGUGAGGCGAGCCACGCUUGUUUUCAGAGACUCUAACUCUUCUUGGAAAUGGGCAUCAUGGUGAGCAUGCUCUUCACCUUCCAUGUUUCUUUGCUUGGAGUCGAGUGUUGUAGACUCUUUGGGGACCUAUAUUUCAACCUGGCGCAUGUAUGUAUGUCAUUUACAAUGGAUGGAUGUAUGUGUGUGGAUGCAAAUGUAUGCACAUUUGGUAUGAAUGGAAAAAAACUCAUGCAAAAUGAAUAACAAGAGAGUUCAUGCUCUAAAGGAAGGUUCUAGGUCAUUACAUGAUGGGUAGGCAUUCUACCUGGUCUUGAAAAGGUCUAUGAACUGCCCAGUGACCACCUCACGUGAAGGCAGUGUAGGGGUUUACAAGGAAUGGUUGGGGCACAAUGUGACCGCCAUUACCAAGUAAACACUAAGCUCAUAGUUGGAUGUUUCACGAAUCUGAACCCCGACUGAAAGUCAUGAGGCAGACCGCUACUCCCCACCUAACCUAGAAUAGGGUUUAUUCGCAAAAUUAAAAUGCAUGCUAAAGCAAUAAAAAUGCGAGCUAAAAUUAAAGACCAAUAAAAGGAAAACAAUCAAACAAUCAAUGCUUAGUCCGACCACACAUGGUUGUCCCCAGUGGAGUCGCCAUUCUGUCGCACGUCAAAAUCCGCGCGACAUCGACCGGCGAUUUUUAUUAUUUGUGUUUUGCUUGGUUCGUUGGAGUCGCCACCUAGUAUUAUGGUCACUAGGAACCUAAGAUCUGCGAGAGUCUGAGUAAGGGACUGGUUGUGCAAGGGGAAGACGCAUCACCCCCAGUGCACCCUACCUAAGGUAAGCUGCAUUGUUGUUUGAUUGUUUUUCUAGGUCGAAUUUCUAUUCGUUGGUCUUUCUAAGGUUUCAAGGCAGAUCUCCCCUCAUGAGGAAGUCUCUACCUUAUUCGGUUAAAUCCUAACCAUUCUAAAGUCUUAAUUUAUUUACACCUUGUAUCUUUAAUAUUUGAGGGUGUACUUUAUCAUGUAAUUUUACACCUUUCAAAUAUUAAAGUCUACAUCUAGAUCCUAAAAAAAAAAGAUUGGGAAAAAGGUUUUGAUAUUUUGGCCAAACUAAUGGAUAUCAUAAACUAGUUAUGAUAUCUAUUGUUUUGGAUUUUUUCAAAACGUGAGAAAGAGCAAUUUUUCGAAAAAAACUGCUUGGAAAUUUUUAGGACUUGGCCGUAUGCAAUAAAAUAUUUUUUUAAAAAAUAUUUCGAAAAAGCCGGGUAUUUUAAUACCGGACUUAUAUCUUACAAUGUAAGUAUACAACCAAUAUUAAGCAAACUUGGUGGAAAAAUAUUUGAGAAAACCACAAUUUUUAAAUGAUUUUUUUUAAUAUUUUUUGAAAAUAAAAAAGAAAAACGAAUAAAAAACUAAAAGGCAUGAACAGUGAACAGUGACGGCAUGAACAGUGACGCCGAAGAAGAAGAGGAAGGUGAGCGGACCACCUGGCGUGGCGGCGAUGGCUGGCUGGAGGAGGAGGACCUGAAGCUGGUGGUGGAAACGGCGGUGGAGUUAGCUGGAGCGGCUGCAGCUGGAAGAGGAAAAAAAAGAAAGAAAAUCUGCAGCAGGAAAAGGGAGGAAGGCUGGUUUUUUGGCUUACUUUGGACCCGCUUUUCUCCUCCCUCUAAGCACGAAAUUGGCUCCUAUUUAUAGGGAUGGAAAGAGGGUAAUCUUGUCUUCAACAGGGAAAAAGUCUCAGCCCUUGAUUCGACUUGAGGAAUCCAAGCCGUUGGUUCAAAGUGUGCACCUCGAACUGCAAAAAUUGGCAAUCCAAGGCUGCAGACUGCCCGAGGGUGCCACUUUGGGCCAAUAAACGGAGCCGUUUUCGAGUUGUUCGACCCGACCGGACCACUCUACGAGAUAGAGGGAUUGCAGGUGGACAUGGUGGUGCACGCUUUGUCGGAUUUGGGAACAAACGAGGUAGAAAAUUCGCCUGGAAGUCUGCCACUCGGGCAGCUUUGCGGGGAAGAAGGUGAACAGUAACCAGAUUUGUUUUUUUUUUUUUUUUUUUUCGUUUUUCAAUUUAGUCCGCGUUCUUUCAAAUUAGUUCAAUGGAACCCCUAAUUGACCAUAAACCUUUGAUUUAAUGCAAUUUUGGCCCCUAAUUUCAAUCAAUUCACUUGGUAAAAAUUAAAUUUGGUCUCUUAAAAUUCCAAUCUUCUUAAUUAAGCCUAAAUCAGGCUCCCAAAUUUAAUUUUUCACCAAUUAAGCCCCAAAUAAAAUUAAUUUGACCCACUUAAAGUAUAAUUAAGUCCUUGCACUUAAUUAAAUCCUUCAAUUAGACCUAAAUUAAUUCUUAAACAUAAUUAAAAUUUAAUUUGGCCCAUGAUUAAAUCAAAUUGGCCCAUUAAAAAUUUAAUUAUGUCAUUGGACUUAAUUUUUAUGCAAAUUCGUCCAAUAAUCGUUUAAUUUUACCUUCGAAUUUGCAUUUUUCUAUUCUUGGGCAUAAUAGGGUACAAUUAGGCCUUGAAAUUCCUCUAAAAAUUGCAGCUUUAUUUCCCAGUCUGCUCUCUCCACGUUGCCAGCCUUUAUUUUAUUUUUUGAUUUUUAUUUUGAAGAAAGAAAUUGAUUUUUAGGGAAUAACCCAGAAUUGGGUUAUGACACAGCAUAUGCCUUGGUAACACAUUAAGGGCCGAGCCGUUAUCAAUGAGAACCUUGCCGACGAGACAAUCCUUGCAUCGGACCGUGACAUACAAGGGCUUGUUAUGUCCAGUUCCUUCAGCAUCAAGUUCAUCUUCCGUGAAAUACAAGUAAUUGGCAGCAUGGAUCCUCCCUACUAGAUGCUCCAUAGUCUUUUGCUCAAUAUCUUGGGGCACAUAGGCCUCAUUCAGUACUUUUUGCAAAGCAUUACGAUGUGGCUCGGAGCUGAGUAUUAAUGACAUGAUGGAGAUCUUAGCAGGGGUUUUCUUCAACUGAUCCACUAUACUGUACUCACUAUGCUUCAUCAAUUUCAGGAACUCAUUUGUUUCUUCCUCAGUCACAGGUUUAUUCACCUCAAACUCUUUAUCGAGGUCCAGCACCUCCUUGCCUUUAGCCUUUCUUUGUCUUUCUAGUUCUUCAGGUGUGAAACAACGACCACUCCGAGUUAGCCCACUUAUCUCCGUUCGGAACAGCGGCAAAGGAGCUUCAAUAUUCGAGGUAUAACCAUAAUCUCCAGGCAUCGCUCCAUAGUUUACUUUGCUUGCAUAUGAGGGCCUAGUUAAUACCAGUUUUGAGCGACCAUUAGCUGUUGAUUGGAUUCUACAUUUCUCUAUCAUCUCUACCUCUUCAUUGUCACUUACGUCCUCAAUCCUCAACUCUCCUAGAGUUAGCAUUCUUGCAACUUUUUGAUGAAAUUCAAUGCAUUCAUCAAUGUGAUGCCCUUCCUUUUUAUGGAAAGGGCAAAAGUUACUUUCCCCUGUGCAGUACUCAGUCGUUUCUUCCAAAUGUCCAGACUGUACCAACAUCAAGUAUAGCUUGGCCAUGGUCACUUUCAACACCCUCUUUUUGCUACCAAUCUCCAUGGUAUUCACUCCUCCCCUACCAUCAACAUGUUUAGGUAAAGGGUUUGAAUUCUGAUUAGGCGAAUCCUCAAAAGUGACCCAUCCCACUUUGAUCAGUUGCAACACCUUUCUUUUAAAAGCAAAGCAAGACUCAAUGCUAUGGCCUGCGUGACCAGCAUGGUAUUCACAAGUUACCUCGGGGUUGUACCAGGCAGGGAAAGGUGGUUGCAUAGGUGGUAUGGGUAGGGGAGCUAUCUGCCCAAUACUCAACAGCUUGGCAUACAACUCUUUUAAGGUUAUUGGUAAAGGUAGUUGUUCUUCUGAUGGUUGCUUAUCCUUUCUUUGGUAAUUGUUGGUUAUUUGCUGGGAAUUUGUUUGGAGUGGGGGGUUUGGAAAAGUUAAUACUAGUGACUCGGGGGUAGGUAUUUGAUAGUUUUUUCUUCUCCUUUCUAGGUUGUUCACCUCAAUUUCUUUCUUCCUUCCAAUGAAACCUCUCUUCUCUAGAGGUUCUGCAAUUCUCCCACUUCGGAUCCCUUGUUCAAUCCUCUCGGCGAUCCGCACGACAUCAUAGAAAUGUUGUGCUGAACUACCCAUAAGGUGUUCAUAGUAUGGAGCCCUGAAAGUAUUGGCAAACAAAGUCACCAUUUCUGUCUCUAUCAGCGGAGGUUGCACAUUGAUAGCUUGGUCUCGCCACCUUUGAGCAUAAGCCCUCACGGACUCUUGACUUCCUUUCUCCAUGCUAAUCAGACUGGUCCUAUCAGGAGCAAUCUCUAGAUUAAACUUGUAUUGCUUUAAGAAAGCGUCCGCCAAGUCUGUCCACUUCCUGAUCCUAAUAUUGUCUAACCUCAUAUACCAACUGAGGGCUGAUCCGGUCAGGCUAUCCUGGAAGAAGUAAAUUAACAUUUUUCGUCGUGGAUAACCUCUGCCAUUUUGUUAUAGUAGGAGCGGAGAUGGGUCUUCGGGCAUUCCAUCCCAGUAUACUUAACAAACUCCGGCACUCUGAACUUCUUUGGAAUGACAAUAUUAGGUACUAAACAUACCUCAGCGGCCCUAAUUGGGUCAAACAAAUCAUUUCCUUCAAUUGCCCUUAGCCUCUCUUCUAGGGCAGUCCACUUAUCAUCUCCUUCAUGAUUAGAGAAUUUAAAGUCAUGUGGAUCUUCGUUUGUUAAAUCCAUUGUAAUAGGGAUUUGGAUGGGCCGAGCAGGACUCUGCUUAGUUGGUGUAUUUGCCCCUAUGUUUAUAGGUGCGACAGGAAUUUGAGCUGCUGCUGGUGCUUCAUUAGGUUGAGUAGAUGUUCCCUCUCCAUCUCUGGCUCUUAAUAAUUGCUCUAACAUACUUGUUAAGUGCGCCACAUCAUUCCGAACUCCUUCGAGUUCUCUUUGGUACUGAGAUUCUGGUUGUGACCUUCCUUCGUUUUCCAUUCUUGCUCUUUGUCGAGUGUUGUGGAUUCUAGGAGGGGGACCUAUGUUUCUUAAUCUGCAGAUGCAUGCAUAGAUGUAUGAGAAAAUGUAUGAUUGUGAUGGAUGCAUGAUCGAAAAAUGCAUGCUUUAUUGGGUAUGGAUGCAUCCUUUUUGUGAACGAAUAACAACCAUCACAUUAUAAGCCUUCUCUUGUCACAUUGCUUUGAUAGGAGUUCUGCCUUUCGAGUCGUUUGCUUGAAUCAUGUUCACCAAGAGACAGAUUUUUGCAUAAGAAGAUGGGUCAACGCCCUUUUCAUUAAUGCUUGGAUAAAAAUACAUUUAGAAAUAAAAGAAAUACAACAUGCUAAUCCCUUUCCUCCCUAAACUCUUUGCCAAAGGUAAGAAAGCAAAACCGCGGUUCUCAAUCUUCCCUAGAAAGGCAUCGGUUUCAGCUAGGCUUCGGCGAUAGCGAAUGAUGUCUCCCCCACAUUCCGCGAAUUGAUUCUGACCAUUCGAGCAUGUGCAGCAGCUUCGUCCAUUUGCUCAUCUGUUUUGGUCAUUUUUUCUAUGAGCAACAUGUUGGUUCUGUUUAAAGCAGUGUUGUUGGCGUCGAUUUGAUCUUUGUGCUUCUCCAUUGCUACUAGCUUUUCAUCUAAAUACUUCACUUUUCGUUCUUUGUCAAGCUUUAUCCUCAUGACUUUUAUCUCAUUCUUCUUGACUGCUAACUCUGCUUUAACAUCCUCGAAUCCUCCCUUUUCGCUUUCCAACUCCAUAUAUUUCUUAUUCAAAUCCUCAUACUUCCUAAUCCUAUCCAUCAGCUCGAAUUGCACUUGCCAAAUUUUUCUUGGUAAUAUUCUGCACUUUCUUGGCAAUCGCUAAAGUCCAUCUCCAUUGCUUGAAGUUCAGAGCAACUUUGCAUCCAAUCCAAACUCAUCCCUUUAAGCUCCUUCUCACUUCCUUCCUUAGCAAUCUUCUCCUCAACCAACUUUAACUCCAGCUUUGUUAUUUUCUCAUCUCUAGACUGUAUUUGCUCAUCUAGAAAUGUUCUCAUUUUAUCCUGUUCUAGCAUCAUUUCUUCCAACAUUGCUUUGUCUUUUCUGCUCUUGCUCAAUUCUAUUCGUAGUUUCCACUUGCCUUCUCAAGUCUUCUUCAUUACUAACUCUCUUUCUCUUGAUAGGCUCCUCUUCAGUUGGAGAAGAUUUGACUUCUACACAAGGCAUGGCUGAAGCAGCUGAAUCAUCUUCAAUGUUCACCCUUUUUCUCUUAAUAGGCUCCGCUACAUCUUGAGGAGAUUUAGCUUCUACGCGAGGGUGGCUGAAGUGCUGAGUCUCUCCAUUUUACAUAUCCUUCGCUCACACUUGGAUCUCUUAACCCUUCUAUCUCCACCAACACUAGAUGCUUCCAAUCUUGCUUGAUGAUCUCCAAAACCUCUUCUGCCAUGGGAUCUUUGAACAAACCAGAGAAUUGAGCAAUUCCCAUAGUCCUGGGAACGAACUGCAUGCCCCCAAGUUGUCUUACCACUAAGGCAGGAGCAUAACUCACAUAACCCGUGAUCCCCACCAAUGGUACCCAACGCCUUUGUCCACAACUCAUUAGGACCUUCACUGACGUUACCCAUGGGGCCCUCCACUUAAACUCGCUAUUAGGUAAACCUUCUAAUUUAUCAACCCAACCCUGGUUGUCUAGAUCUCCCCAUUCUUCUUCUUCUACUAACUUGAGGGGUUUUUGGGUGAACCACCAAAAAUUAUUGAAGACAGGUUUCUUUGUCUCGAUAUGGCUAACCAUCCAAAUAUACAACAGUUGCGUGCAGCAUCUCAUUGCUCCUUUUCCGGCCCUCCUACAAUGGUUAAGUGUCAAAAUUGUUUCGGCUAAAAUAGCAGCCACUGGAUUGAUUCGUGUAUUCUCAUACUCCACAUAAGCAGCAGCGGCCUCCAAACUCACUAAACCAAUCUGACUUGGGAACAACACAAGGCCAAAUAUACCUAGGGCAAUCAAUCUCUCUUUUUCUACUCCUGACUUCUUUUCCAAUUCUAACAUCCUCCAUUUCAAACCGGUACCAUUCUUUUGAAACUUUUCCAAGUUGGAGAUUCUGAGCAGCUUUGACAGUUCAGGGAUGAUCUUGUCGGAUCUUAAAGGAGAAUAAAUCCGAUACAGGUCGUUGGGAAACUCGGUCAACAAUCCAUAUUCCUCAACCGUGGGGCACAAGUCUAUGCUUCCAAAGGAAAAACAUCGGUAGUCUGGAUCCCAAAAAUGAACUAAAGCUCGCACAGCUGGGCUUAAAACUUCUACCUUUGCAAUUUCCAUCAAACGUCCGUAUUUCCUAAAAAAUGCAUCUUUAUCCACAUUCUGAAAAUGAGUCGUUAACUUGUUCACCUCAUUCAAUACGCAAUUCAGGUUCUUGAUUGGUGACAUCUUCUUAGCAUCGCUUCUAAGGCAGUCUCCUUCAGUCAAUUGUGACAGUUCAGAAUUUUUUCCAUAUUCUAAGAUGGAAGAUUUAGUGAUGAUGGCCAUUUCGUUCACAAGUCCUGCAAUUCAAAAUGCAUUGGGGUUUAGACUUUGUUUGGAUGCAAAAGAUAUGUUGGAACAUACACCCUAAGGAUAGGUUCUAAUUUCUCUACGUGAGACAUAGGGUAGGUUUACUAUUGGGUCUCUAAAAGAGGGUCUCUUGCUGUUCCAGUGAUCAGCCUUCGUAAAGGCGAUAUGGAGGUCUAGCAGAUAGUGGGAUGGUACGUGUACCAAUCACAAUCAGUCUAAACACUCAGCAAAGAGUUGGGGUUUACACAAACUUAAACCUUGACUCAAGUCAUAAGGCAAGCUGCUAGUCCCCCACUUAAACUUAAAGUUACAUGUGUGUGCACUCCAAAACAUAAUAACAAUAAUAAAGUGAUGCAUGACUAUGCCAUGUAUGAUAGAAUGUAAAGAUAUAUGCUAAAGCUUUUAAACAAAGCAUCAUAAGAAAACAAAAACCAAUAACACAUAACAUAAACAAACAAACAAAUCAAGCUUAGUCCAAGGGUCCCCAGUGGAGUCGCCAUCCUGUCGCACCCCAAAAAAAAUAAAAAAUUUGGCGUUCGACUGGCGACUUUCGUUUUGUUUUUUUGCUGAUUUGGUUCUUUGGAGUCGCCACCUAGUAUUUUGGUCACUAGGAACCCUAACUGGUCUUUCAGAGAUUCUAAGGCAAGGGACUGGUUGCGUAAAGGGAAGGUAUUAGCACCCCUAGUACGCCCUACCUAAGGUAAGCUGCUUGGUGUUUGGUUUGCUCUAUAAUGCUAUGGUGUUGGUAUUUUCUAGGCUCGUCAAUUGAUUUUGGAUAGAAAUCUAAGGAGAUUCCAUGUGCUUUGAAAGCUCAUUUUUCCCUUAGUAUUUCAAAAGUUUGCGACUCAUAAAUCGUGGAGAAAAAAAAUUAAAUUUUGAAAUGUCCUCGAUUAUAAUCAAGGCUUCUUUCAAGAAUGUGUGCGGAUUUAUUACUCCCAAUAAUAUUUUGGAUAUUCAUCCUUUUAAGGAUUUCUUUAUCCAAACAUUAGCGGUAAAUAAUAAAUAAAUUCCUCCCAAAAUAAGAUUUUUAUAGUUUUUGAAUAUUGGCCAAUACCCUUUGGAAUUUUACAAACACGUUGUAAAAUCCAGAAAUGCAAGAAAAUAAUUUGUGUUUAAGAAAUCUAUGCGAAAACACACUUUCGAAGCUUCCAAUAUAUUUUUUUUAAAAAGAAAUUCAAAACAUGUUAGAGUAUUGGCCGUAUGCAACACGCAAGAAAAAUUUUUUUUUUUAAAUAUUUUUUUUUUGACGAAAACGGUAUUUUAAUACUGAAUUUGUAUCUCCACAUAAAAAUACAAACAAUUAAAUCAUAAAAAAAUGUGCGGAAAAAUCCACAAUAUUUUUUAGAAUUUUUGAAAGCAAAAGAAUUUUUAUCUUUGAAAAUCUGGAUGUCUUGACGAAAACCGGGUAUUUUAAACACUGAAUUUGUAUCUCCACAGUAUUACAAACCAAUGUAUAAAAAAUAUAUAUAUGAAAAGAAAACAAUUUUUUUUUUGAUUUUUUUUUUAUUUUUUAAAAUAUAUAUAAUAUACAUGCAUAAAUAAUAUAAUAAUAUAAUAUAAUAUAAUUAAUAAAUAUAUUAAUAUUAAGGGGCUGGGCCGGCCAACUAAACUGGGCCGGACCAGCCUUAAAAGUCGUUGGGAACUCGGCCCAAAAGGGAUUGGGCCGAUCUCGGCCCAAGAACUAAUUAACCUCGGUCUGGGCCGGACCCAGCCCAGACCGCCGAUUGGGCCAGAAUCCCUCUGGCCCGUCCCGCAUAGUUUUGGGCCAGACACCAUCUGGCCUAGAGAAGGGAAAAAAAAAAAGAGCACGGGGGGGAAUUAUUUUCCCCCCCCCGCCUCCUGCAUGCAGAACGACUCUGCAUGCAGGAGGCAAAACUGAUGCAGGUUUCGAAAAAAAAUACAGGGGGGAAAGAAAGCGUACCUGGGGCGGCGGAGACGGUGGCUUGCUGGCGGUGGCAGCGUCCUAGCUCACGGACAGCGACUCCUCACGGUGAUUUCCAAACAAUCCGGCGACGCCCUCUCGGUUCGUUUUCUUCGUUUUGUUUUCUAAAUUCCCUCCCAGCAUUAAACUUUCACUCUUCUCUUGCUUUUUUUGGGGUUUUCGGUGGCUCUCUCUCCUCGGUUGGGUGUUUCUCUCUCUUCCUCUCUCUCUUCGUUUUUUGGUUCUCUUCGGGUUCCUCUCCUUUUUCUUUUUCUUUUUUCAUCCCUGUUUCUCUUAUUAUGUUCUCUAUUUAUAGAGCCAGGGGGCGUGGCUUCACCGUGGAGCCAAGGAGCGGGUCGAGGAGCGGGUCGAGGAGCGGCUGUUCAGGCGGACCUCCCUCGGUUUCGGCAGUGCGGCGGGUGGUCAACCAGUGUCUUCUGUCGGUGACCCACCGGCGUGGGGCCUUGGUUGGUCGAGGGACCUACAAAAAAAUGUAAACAAUGCAAACUUUUCCUUCUUCCCCGCUGUAUGUUCGGGGGAAGAAGAAAGGUGAACAGUGUCGUUCAAAACGGCACCGUUCGGUCUUCUCUUUUUUUUUUUUUAUGUAUGAAACGGCGUCGUUUUGGAGAAAACGCGCCGUUUCAUUUAAAAAAAAGGCGCCAGAACAUUUGUUUUUGAAUCAGUCAUUAAUCAUCUUUGUUCAAUUCAAUUUCGUCCCUGCCAAUUUCGGUCCGUCCCCAUAGUUGGCCGCGUUUUUCACUUUGGUCCUUGGCCUCUGAUUUAUGCAAUUUAGCCCUCAAUUGAUCAAUAAACUUCUAAUUUCUUCAAUUAAGCCCCCUGAAUCAAUUCCAAACAGCCCCCUCUAUCUUUGCGCCUUUUUCAAAUUGGUCCCUGGUUUCGAAUUUUCACAAUUAAGUCCCUAAUUGGCCAUUAAACGUCAAUAUUUAUGCAAUUAAGCCCCUGAUUUGACCCAAUAAAUUCCUAAAAAUUAUAAUAUGGCCCCAGAACUUUAAUUUCUUCUAAUUAAAACCCAAAUUGACUUAAAAAUCAAUUUUUCUUGCAAUCAAAUCCCCUAUAAAUUCAAAUAAAAAUCCAAUUAAGUCCAUAAACAUCCAAAUUUGGGCUUUUCUCCUCAAAAUUCAAAUUUUCCUUCUCAAUAGGGCUCUCAUCCUUCAAGAAUAUAUUGUCAAAAAAUCCGCCUUUGCCUUUUUAAAUUCCUUGACCAAUUUUCUGAUCAUUUUUGAGCGCUUCUGCCUCCUGUUAUUUUUUCUAACCUCUUUUGGCUAUUUAUUUUAUUUUUUAUGGGGACCCAAAAAUGGGUUACAACAUCACGUAUUGGUUAAGUUAACCUGUAUUGAUUGGGGUUAUUGUUGCCUCUAUAUCUUUUAUUAUGUUAGGAAAAACUUAAUAUAACCGGCAAGGUAGUGCAAAACACCUACCUGGUCACUAUUAAAAAGAGAUUUAUAGCAGAAGACAAUGUUUGUUUUUGUGGUUGAACCACACUUUUAAAAAUUUUAAAAUUUAUUGUUUUUCUUUGAAUUGAUUUUAUUUUUAUGUUUUUAGAUCGUUUUAAUAUGUUGAUAUCAAAAAUAAAUUUUAAAAAAUAAAAAAAUAUAUUAUUUUAAUAUAUUUUUAAAAAAUAAUCACUACCACAACAACAAACAACAAACAUGAUAUAAUUACCAUCACCAAACACCUUCACUUUUACCAUUUCUCAAUAAUUACUUGCCAUUUCUUGCUCGCAUCCCGUGCUUUUAGUAUCCUUAAAGCUUUUCCACUUCUUCCUUUGUCAACAUCCAAUUCCUUUCCCUUAGAAAAACAAGCUAUGGGUGAUACAGUUUUUAUUAAUUUAUGAAUUAUAAGAUAUAAUGUGUAACUUUUAAAAAUAUAAAAAGUUAAAUAAAAACAUAAUUAAACUAUAAGAGAUUUUUAUAAUUAUUUCUAAAAAUUAACUUGGAAUGCUACCGGUAUCAUAGCAUGGAUCCACUUAUAAACUGCUAUGCUCAUUUGUUUAAAAGAGAAAAGAAAAGUAAAUUAUACUCGAAAUCAUAGUUAAUUUUGGCCUAUAAUAAAACAACUUGAGAUUCCAGGUAAAUUUACGUGUUAGGGUGUGCCUUUAUUUGUAGAAAUUCCUAUAAUCUAGUUGUGGAAAUUCCUCGUUUAAACACUAGUCUGUUUAAUAAUCUUUUCAAGGCUCAACUAUGUUACUAGAUUCAUUUGUUAAAUUAUGAAUUAUAUCAACUUCAAGUUUCCCUCGUCAGAUUUUGAUCCUUAAAUCCGUACUUAGAAGUUCAAGCAGGACCAUGUUACUCUCAUAGAAUUAUAACCGGUAAGGUACGUAGCCUAUAUUUUGUUAAAUUAUGGUAAAAAAAUAAAGAUAUAUAUAUAUAUAUAUAUAUAUAUAUAUAUAUGAAUUUUUAAUGUUUAAUCAUCAGAGUUUUGAUUCAUUCUUUUCUUUUAUAUCUUCUCUCUCCUAUUUUUUUUUUGUACCAUAUCAUCUGUUUUUUUAACUAUUAUAUUAUUUUUAUUUCUUUCAAAUACAUUUUGACUUUUGCAUAGAUAAGUUAUUUAAGAAAGCAAAAACUUCAAUAGAAAAGAAAAAUCAAGUUGACGAAUGUUGUCUUCAAAUCACAGGCGAGUUGCUUCUCAGAAACUUCAAUGCUUUAAUACAGACAGAGACAGGCAUGGCUAAUCAAGUCUGCACCGUGUGGAGCCUAAUCAGUAUAGUUAAAGAGACUGCAGUUUUAAUAUUUUGAUAAAAUUGAACCACCACAUUUAUUGGAGUGGUGUCGUUAUUAUUUUUUAUUUUUAUAUAAAUAUAUUAAAAUAAUAUAUAUUUUUUAUUUUUAAAAAAUUAUUUUUAAUACCAACAUAUAAAAUAAUUUAAAAUAUAAUUGAUGUAUUACGUUUCCACUAAAAUCAGUAAUAAAAAGAGAUCGAUAGCAGAAGUAAAAUCCCAUCACCAAACACUUUCAUCCUUUCCAUUUCUCAUCUCAUACCGCUCUUUCUUCUCAGUAUUUACUUCCCAUUUCGUGCUCACCUCCCCGCUUUUAGUUUCCGUGCACCUUCUCUACUUCUACUUCUCAACAUCCAAUUCCUUUCCCUCCGAAACAAGCUAUGGCUGACGCAGUUGUUUCUGCUGUAGCGAGUGCAAUCUUGGAGAAGUUGAGGUUGCUGGUUCUCAAAGAGGUUAGGUUUGCUCGGGGCCUAGACACCGAGCUUGAGCAUCUCGCAAGCACCCUCGCAAUGGUUCAAGCUGUGCUCCAGGACGCAGAGGAGAAGCAAUGGAAGAGCAAGGCUUUAGAGAUUUGGCUAAGACUCCUCAAGGAUGCAACUUAUGAUGUUGAUGAUGUGCUGGAUGAGUUUGAAAUUGAAGCUCAAAGGCAUCGGCUGCAAAGAGAUGCCAAAAACCGACUGAGAUCCUUCUUUACUCCUGGUCACGGUCCACUCCUUUUUCGAUUGAAAAAGGGGCAUAAAUUGAAAAAUGUGAGAGCAAAAUUGGAUGCCAUCGCCAAUAAGAAAAACAUGUUUGAUUUAACACCAAGAGCUGGAGAUAUAGCAGCUGAUAUCUAUGAUUGGAGGCUUACCAACUCACUCGUGAAUGAGUCAGAAAUUUGUGAAAGACGGAAGGAGAAAGAGGAACUACUCAACAUCCUGCUCUCUAAUGACGACGAUCUCCCUAUUUAUGCUAUAUGGGGAAUGGGGGGACUCGGGAAAACAACACUUGCUCAAUUGGUCUACAAUGAAGAAAGGGUUAUACAACAAUUCGGUUUGAGAAUCUGGGUGUGCGUGUCUACUGAUUUUGACUUAAGAAGAUUAACAAGAGCCAUCAUGGAGCCUAUUGACGGUGCCCCUUGUGAUCUUCAAGAAUUGGAUCCCUUGCUACAACGCCUCCUACAAAAGUUAACUGGAAAGAAGUUUUUGCUUGUGCUGGAUGAUGUGUGGGAAGAUUACACUGAUUGGUGGAGUCAAUUGAAGGAGGUAUUAAGGUGUGGAGCUAAAGGUAGUGCUGUAAUAGUAACUACGCGUGAUGAGCCGGUUGCUCGUAGAAUGGCAACAGCUUUAGUCCAGCCCAUGGGGGUAUUGUCUCAAGAAGAUUCCUGGCAUUUGUUUCAACGGCUUGCAUUUGGGAUGAGAAGGACAGAGGAGUGGGCACACCUGGAAGCCAUUGGAGUAUCAAUAGUGAAGAAGUGUGGUGGUGUUCCUUUAGCUAUAAAGGCACUCGGGAACCUAAUGCGGCGAAAAGAAAGUGAAGAUGAAUGGAAAAAAGUAAAAGAAAGUGAGAUUUGGGAUCUAAGAGAAGAAGCAAGCCAGAUCUUACCUGCUUUGAGGUUGAGUUACACUAAUCUAUCACCACAUUUGAAGCAAUGCUUUGCGUUUUGCGCUAUAUUUCCAAAAGAUCAGGUGAUGAUGAGGGAGGAGCUGAUUGCUUUAUGGAUGGCAAAUGGCUUUAUUUCGUGCAGAAAUGAAAUCGAUCUGCACAUUAUGGGUCUUGGGAUAUUCAAUGAACUAGUGGGAAGGACAUUUCUGCAAGAGGUCCAUGAUGAUGGAUUCGGCAACGUAACAUGUAAAAUGCAUGAUCUUAUGCAUGAUCUCGCACAAUCCAUUGCAAUACAAGAAUGCUAUAUGAGAACAGAAGGCGAUAGGGAGGUGGAAAUUCCUAAAACUGCAUGUAGCUUUUUAUAACAAAUCAGUAGCUUCGUCUUCUGAAGUUCUCAAGGUUCUAUCACUUCGCUCAUUUCUUUUGAGGAAUGAUCAUCUUUCGAAAGGAUGGGGACAGAUUCCUGGUCGAAAACAUCGAGCACUGAGUUUAAGAAAUGUCUGGGCCAAGAAAUUGCCAAAGUCAGUUUGUGAUUUGAAACAUCUAAGGUAUCUAGAUGUGUCAGGCUCCUGGUUCAAAACACUGCCUGAAAGUACAACCUCUCUCCAAAACCUCCAAACACUAGAUCUGAGAGGUUGCAGAAAACUCAUCCAAUUACCAAAAGGUAUGAAGCACAUGAAAAAUCUUGUCUAUCUUGACAUCACGGAUUGUGGUUCACUUCGAUUUAUGCCUGCUGGAAUGGGGCAAUUGAUAUGCCUGCGAAAACUUACCCUGUUCAUUGCGGGUGGGGAGAAAGGUCGUCGCAUAAGUGAGCUGGAAAGGCUGAAUAAUCUCGCUGGUGAACUGAGAAUCGUAGAUCUUGUGAAUGUUAAGAAUUUAAAAGAUGCCAAAAGUGCCAAUUUGAAGUUGAAGACAGCUAGCUCUUUUAUCACUGACUUUAUCUUGGCAUGAGAAUGGAUCUUACCCUUUUGACUCUCGGUCAUUUCCGCCAUCACAACGAAGAAAGAGUGUUAUUCAGAAAAAUAGCGAGGAGGUCCUUGAUGGGCUUCAACCUCCUUCAAAAUUGAAGAGGUUGAGGAUAUUGGGAUACAGAGGUUCAAGAUUUCCUAAUUGGAUGAUGAACUUGAACAUGACGCUACCAAAUCUGGUAGAGAUGGAGCUAUCAGCAUGUGCCAACUGUGAUCAACUUCCAUCAUUGGGGAACCUCCAGUUCCUCAAAAGUCUUAAAUUAUGGGGAUUGGUUGGUGUGAAGAGUAUUGACAGCAUUGUAUAUGGAGAUGGGGAAAAUCCAUUCCCAUCUUUGGAGACGCUGACUUUUGAGUGCAUGGAGGGAUUAAAGGAAUGGGCUGCAUGUACUUUUCCUUGCCUUCGAGAACUGAAGAUAGCUUAUUGCCCUGUGUUGAACGAGAUACCAAUUAUACCCUCCGUCAAAACAUUACACAUCGAGGGAGUGAAUGCUUCGUGGCUCAUGUCAGUUAGGAAUCUCACUUCUAUCACCUCCCUUUAUACAGGACAGAUUCCAAAAGUGAGGGAGCUUCCUGAUGGGUUUUUGCAAAAUCAUACCCUUCUUGAAAGCUUAGAAAUUGAUGGGAUGCCAGAUCUGAAGUCUUUGUCAAAUUGGGUAUUAGAUAACCUUACUGCUCUUAAAAGCUUGAAGAUUCAGUGGUGUUAUAAGCUUAAAAGCUUGCCAGAGGAAGGUCUUCGUAACCUCAAUUCCUUGGAGGUUUUAGACAUACAUGAUUGUGGAAGAUUAAAUUCUUUGUCAAUGAAUGGGUUAUGUGGCUUAUCUUCUCUUCGUAAGUUAUUUAUUAGAAAUUGUGAUAAAUUCACAUCUCUAUCUGAGGGAGUGCAACAUUUGACGGCACUUGAGGAUUUGUUGCUUCAUGGAUGUCUAGAGCUGAAUUCAUUGCCAGAGAAUAUCAAACAUCUCACUUCUCUCCGAUCUCUACAUAUACUGAACUGCAAGAGAUUAGCUUCUUUGCCAAAUCAAAUUGGACAUCUCACGUCUCUUGCACGCUUGACGAUUGGGGGUUGCCCUAAUUUGGUGUCUUUACCAGAUGGGGUGCAGAGUCUCAGCAACCUCAGCUCAUUGAUAAUUGAAAAUUGUCCAAAAUUAGAGAAGAGGUGUAAGAGAGGGAGAGGAGAGGACUGGCCUAAGAUAGCUCAUAUCCCUGAGAUUAUAAUAUACUAAAAAUGAAGGUAAUUUCUCCUAUAGCAGUAGUAAGCUCUCUUUCAAUUCAAUAUUUUAGAUACACACACAUAUCUGUGUUCUCUUAUGGUUAUUGGCUGAGGUUGCUUCAUGAAUAAUUGAUCUCAAUUAUAUUUUUACUUUCCUAUUGUAAUGCCUAAAGAUAACCUACAAUGUAGUAAUUGAAUCCUAAUAGAAAGGAAAGUCUGAAAUCCUGCUUGUAUAAAUAUACAUGAAGAGAUCAAUGAUAAUAUUACUCCAGCAGAUUCAAUUUCUCUGCCUCUCAAGUUUUACAUCGUUAAGUUAAUUUAUGGUUUCAUUUCUGCAUAGUAAAUCAGUACCUGUUGCUCGCACAUUCUUAUUUUAGUGUCAUGUUUGCGGCACCUCAUGAUUUUUUUUAUACAUUAGUCUUCCAUGAUUUUUCUAUAAAUUAAAGACCCGUGCACAAAAAAAAAAAAAAAAAAAAGGGGACAUAUUAAUUAAAACAGUUGGUCUCGCGCGUGAUCAAUGAAUUGAACAGAUAAUUUAGUAAUUUAAACCUCUUAAUUUCAGGUUAGUCUUCCAGUUAGACUUCUAAUAACAGUGUAAAAUGAUGAGGUAAUUUCAUUCUUCAAAAAUACAUAAAAAUCCACUCUCUCUUGCUUACUCUCUCUCUAGAUGGUGUGGGACAGUUCAUUCUCUGAUAUCAAGAAGAUUGGAAAGCGGCUGAUCAGCUAACCCGAAUAUAUAUUUAAUUCAAGCAUGUUUUAAGAACUCGUAUAUAAAGAUGAUAAUUUAAUUUAAAAUCGAUGAUAUUAACCUAACCCGAAUGUAUAUUUAAUUGAAAAUCAAUGAGUAUUGACCUAACCCUAACCCGAAUAUAUAUGCAUUUUUUAGACUUUAUUGACAAAUCAAGAACCAUUUCAGAUUCACUGCACAAACACAGCCAACCAUGUAUAAAAACAUUGCAAACAUCAAAAAGCACACCAUCAGCUAUAACCAACUCAAAUGAUUUAACAAAAUAUCAUGAAUUCAUGAUUCCUAAAUGCAACAGUAUAACAUUAAAACAUUCUAGAAAAACAUAACAAUUAACAGUACCUAAAACUAAACCUUUAAUUACAGAUGAAACACCACCAUAUAUAAACAUGGAAUGCAGCAUGCCACUUCAUAUUUCAGUAACAGUGGGACUCAAAUAAAAAAGUUUGUAAGCGCAUAAAAUAAGCUAAGGUAUAAUAUACAUAUGCAUUCCAUAUGUGAGCAUCACAUUUCUGUACACUUUUAUUAAUGAACCCGUGCCCACAAAAAUAUUCUCUUCCAUCCCUUCCCAAGCUCCCACUCCGCUUGAACAAAAUAGAAAGCUCCAAGAGAUAUGCACAUGUUUUUUCCAGAUUGCAUAAAAGCUCCUUCCGAAUCAUAAAUUCCGAGCAUUUCUUUUCUAAUGAAAAACUUUACUUCGAAGAAAAACUUUUAUACGAAUGCAGUUUCAGUAAAUCCCCAGCACAUCAGGUGAAUUCUUAAAUUUACACAAUCACCUUUAGUUAGUCUAACAGCUUUGUCUUUCUUCUAUUGUAGCUUAGAAAAAUAUUUCCAAAAAACUGCCCUCGAUCUAUAACGGACAAACAUCAAGUCAUCUUAUAUGCAGGGACUCUAUUCAAGAAGUUUGUAAUGAAGCCAACACACAUCAGGUGAGUUCUUGCAUUUACACAAGUUAAUUCUUGGUUAGUUUACCAGCUUUUUCUUUCUUUCUCAUGUACCUUCAAUUUAUAAUUAAGAAACAUCAAGUCAUCUUAAUUUAUAAUUAACAAACUAUAUUCAAGAAGUAUGUAUCACAAAACCCAAAUUGUGCAAUGGCAUGUGCUUGAAAAACAAAAACUAAGCUCUGACUUCAAGAUGGGGCAAAUACAGCCAUAAUCUGGACCUGCAGUCCUAACGAUCACCCAACUAAAAACGCUAUAUACAAUUGAAUAUUCUACCAAGUACAGACAUACACUGAUAUAUACAGUAUCUUUCAAACCUCAAAACCACACUAGACCAAUCAAAUUCAAACGGAUAGAAGAGCUAAACUUAUUGUAUUUCCAUGGAAAUAUAUUUUGAUCUUUCCCACAAUGAAAGCGGGUGACUUGCUUAUUUCUUGUAGAAUAUGACUCAUUUAUAUAUUAUAUGUAUAUUAAUUUAAAAAUUUAAAUUGUUAUGUAAAAUUUUAAAAUGUGAUUUAUAUCAUUUUUUAGUAUACAUUUUAUGUGAUUAAUUAAUUUUAAAUAUAAUAAAAAAUAAAAAUAAUAAUAUUCAAACUCGUGAUUGUUUAAGUAUCAAAGCUUUAAUAUAAUAUUAAAUAACUAUUUAAACAAAAUAAUUUAGACCAUUAAAUAAUUUUUUAAAAUAUUAUUUAUAUUAUUUUUUAAUAUUUUUCAGCCACACGAUCCAAAGCUCGUAAUAGGAACUGAUUUUAGUGUGCCACACAUUACCUAUCCAUGCUCUAAAGGUUCUAGCUGUAAGUUUCAUGCUUUACCCUGUUUUAAUGAGGAUAUAUUCUGAAUUUCAUUUUAGAAAAGCUAUUUUUUAUUUUUUAUUUUUUAUUUUUAUUUAAGAAAAGGUUAUAAUGUAAAACGUGAUGGAACUCCUAUUGGAUAAAAAAUAAUAUGAAAAAACUUCAUCCCUGACAGUAGACAUCUCUCAUUUGAGUCACACAUCCAUCCAUAUCAAUUUUUAUUUAAUAAAACUUUGUUAUUUUGGACAAUAUUUCUGUUAAAAAAAAAGAGAGUAUAUUUUAGAUAGUAAACCCAAUUAAAGAAUGCUGGGCACUUUAGUAACCUAAUUGAAAAGGAUAUUUAGUUUCAGGAUUUUAAAAGUGUUUAAAAUUAUGAUAGAGGAUGCUUUUUAAAAUAUUUUUUUAUUAAAAAAUAUAUUAAAAUAGUAUUUUUUUAUAUUAGAAAAUCAAAAUAAUAAAAAAAUACUAAAAAAUAUUCAAUUGAAGCUUUUAAAAUAAAUUUUAAAAAGUGUUGUUCAUCAAUUGAUAGGUGGUGAACUAAUUAAAGUUAAGGAAAUUCAAGUUCUGAAUCCCUUUAAUCUUAAAAUAAAAUAUAUUCUGGCUAUAAUAAAAUAAAAUAAAAUUCCUAGUCAAAUCUACCAUAGAAGAAGGCCUUCCAUGGAAAAGGACCACAGGCUUUGAUGGUGGCUCCAUUUUCUACCUUUUAAAAUUGCUCGGCCCAGCCCAACUAUCACCACCACCAUGUAACUAACUUAAUUUCGCGCCAAGCCUCAACAUCAACGGCCCCCCUAGUCUCAGUUCCCGCCGUCCAGUUCUCCACACCAAAUCUGUCCAAGGUCACUCGAUGUUCCCCUCAAUCUCUCAUGCACAUUCAUAUGCAUGGAUGGAAUUAGGUUUUAGGUCGCUGUAAUAGUUUAGUUUUCAGGCUGAAAUGUAAAAAAGACCGAUUUGAUUUCACUUUCAUGUAUUAGAAACUCAUUUGACUUGUUCAAGAAAUCGGAUUUGAGGUGGGUUUUAUACAAUUUUCCGAGAUUAACUUCUUUUUUUUGUGUGUUUCUGGUUUGUUAAUUGUGGUUGUUGAUGGAAGUAAUUGGUAAUGUAGUUUAUGUAUUUGUAGAAAGUCUCCAGUCAACACGUUCAUUGAUUGUUUCAAACUUGAGCAAAUCAUAUCCAUUGCUGACUGUUUGAUGGUUAACCACUAGUCUUGUUUAAUAAUUUUUUCAAGGAUUUUAAAUAAUCUCUUACUCUCUGCCUCUCUCAACUCUUUUUGAGCCUUCGAAUAGAAGAGUCUGCAUUCAUUUACUUGAGAUAUGUAUAGGCAUGGAAGCCCCAUUCAGCUGACAGAUAAUUGCCACUAUAGAGACCAUUACUCUAUUGAAACCCAUUUCGUUACCACAACGUGUCACCUGUUCCAUCUUAGUUCAUUGUUAUUUAAUUCUUAAAAAAAUGGAUAGAUAUGCGUCUUUAAUACAAGAUUGUAUUUAUAUACUAAAUUACAAUGAUCCGUCCGUGCUCGAUGCGAUAUUUCUGGUAUCAAUUAACAAAUAAGAUAUUGAGGAUUCUAGGCAAAUUGAAUUAUUAUUCCAAUAGACCCUAGAAAGUUUCAGGAUGUAAUAGUUGAUUUAGUGGCUAAUACUUGAUAGGGCAUAAUCACCGAUUUAGUUUUAGAAGUAGUGUUGAUUUUUCAGUCUUCUUCCUCUUCUUUUCCCUAGCUAACUUCCGUCUUCUAUUGCAAGGACUUUGGAAAUCAAUGUCAACUUUGAUGUUGAUAGCCCUGCUGCAAUGCCACAAACACCAGCCCCGCCGCAAUCAACUAGACCAUCUCGUUCUAUAAGAUGGCUAGGCACAAACUCUUCUGAUUAAGAAGACUCGCCAACCACUGCUGUGCAGCCUGCUCCUCCCACUAUAGGCAGCUGAUCACAGAUGGCUAGCAGGACUGCUGCUCUGACCAAGAUGAAUCGCAAUGCAACCAUUAGGAAUUGCUGAAUAUGAUGAAGAGGAAGAAGAUUCUGAGGUUACAUCAGGGGAAGAUUCGUAUGACUGUCCAUUAUGCUGAAUGAGCAUUUUACAGAUUUUCCUUGCAAAUAUCGUGCUUUCUCAACACUAUAAUCUGUUGUAUUCUUGUUGUCUUUGUUAAUGCUGGGUUUUGUAUGGAAGUUAGAUAGGUUCGGUAGCUCUUUUGUAGUGUUCAUUUUACUUUGGGGGAUGGACAUCCUGCCAGUAAAAUCACCUCUAAACUACUUGUGUGAAUCUUAAUUCAUCUAUGAGAUUGAAGUAAGUUCUCAUGAGUUUUCCAGGGUUGUACAUUUGCCCAAGCUUUUCAUUUCGGGGUCAAUUUAGGGGUUAUUUGUUUACGCAGCUGCAACUGCUUUUAAAGCAAACUGUGUACACAAUACGUUUGGUAACAAUAAAACACGAAUUACAGCAUACGUGGUACCCGUUAAAAACACUGGUUUGUGAAAAGCAGCUCUCGGCUGCUUCUCACGCGGCUGCGUCUAAUGCCCAGGUGAAUCAAUUCACCUGGGCACUUUUCACUACAAGUGAACAAUGCUAUUCACUUGGCACUGUUCAUAGUAAAAAAAAUUAUAUUUUUUUUAUGUGUUUUAUUCAAAAAAUUAGAAGGAAAUCGUUUAAUGACAUAACAAAAAAUUCAGUUUUUGUUGUUGCAUACUUAAAAAACCAUGGAAAAUAUAGUCCUUGUUUGGUAGAUUUCGUAUGAAAUUGUAUAUAGUUUAAUAGAAUAAUAAAAAAUAUUUAAUAUUAAUAUUAUUUAUUUCAUGAUGUAAUAACAGUAGUUAAAUCUAUAAUAUUUAAAUUAAAAGCCAUUAAUAUAUAUAUAUAUAUAUAUAUAUAUAAUCUCAAUUUGAAAAGUAUUUUUUUAACCAAACACAUUAAACUAUUUUUUGUUUAACCUCAAUUUCAACCAUAAUUUUAACUAAACAUAUAUUUUUUCAAAUCAAUCUCAAUUAAAAAUACUUUUUAUAAAAUAUUUUUUUUUCAAACUAUAACCACAAUCGCUAUUACAAUACCAAACAUACUUUUAAUUAUAGGCUAGUUAUAUUUCUAUGUACAUAGGGCCAUGACAGUUCAAGGGAUCGUGGGCUGAACUUUUGGAUGUUGCAUUAUCACUUUGGGUUUUUCUUUUGAUUGUACAAGAAAUUUGAAAGAACAAUCCAUAUGUUGCAUUAUCACUUUGGGUUUUUCUUUUGAUUGUACAACAAUGAACAAAGAGAUAUUUGAAACCACAAUCCAUAUGUUGCAAGCAGAAGUCACAGCUCACACCCACAAGGACAAGUUAAAGGUAGAUAGAUAGGCUUGUAGCCGGAAUCCGGGAAGUUCCUACACAGCAAUGAAACCAAGCCUUAUUCUCCUACUAAUAACUCGCUUAGAAACCCCCCUCCUCCGGGAAGUUCCUACAUCUCACACGGGCAAACUUGCACCACAGUUUUGAAACCAAGCAUAGGAUGAAACGAAGAACGAAAGAGUCAUAAAAAAAUGCACCACAGUUUUGAUCAGAUCUUUUGCGAUCUUUGGAUAUAAAAGUGAAGGGUACAUUGCCUCUUGGUUGCAUAAUUUCUUAAUGGAGAGGCACCUAGAGGACGUUCUUGACUUUGGGGAGUAUACAAAAGCAAACCCACAAUCUUAUCUUUUCUUCAGUCUUUUAUCUUUUCUUGAUUUGUCAAGUCUACAACGUGUGAAGCCUACGCGGAUUGGCCAGUGCGGGACAAAGACAUUUACUAACCGACAAGCUAAUUCAAGUUGAUGAAUGUUGUCUUCAAAUCAUAGCCAUGUUACUUCUCUGAAACUUCAAUAGCUUUAAUAUAGGCAUAGCUAGUCGAGUCUGCACCGUGUAGAGCCCAAUCAAUAUAUAGUUAGAGGACUGCAGUUUUAAUAUUUUAAUAUAAUUAAAACCACCACAUUAUUUACAAUUACAUUACCAAAAGAAAAACGAUUAAAAGCUAGCAGUAAAACACUCUGGUGCAAGAAACGUUUACACUUUUAGUAUUCUAAAAAAACUAGCAAGUUUCUUCUAAUCGGGUAAAAUCAACUUUUCAACUGAUCAAUUAUGCAUUACAAAAUCGAGUGGUAACAAAUUAGUCCAUACACUUUUUUUUUCCAUGGUGAAAUGAGUUUAUUGUUGAGUUUUCCAAAUAAAAUAUACACGUGGCAAUAAAAACAAUAAAACAAAAUUAUUUAGAAGUCUCUAGUAUCUCAUUAGAUAAAUAUAAAAUUGUUUAGGAAUUUAUUACCUAAAGAUAUGAUCUUCUUUAACUUUAAAUAAUUCUUUAAAGGUUGAGUUAUCACAAACUAUAAAUUAUACAACUAUCUAGCAUCCAACGGUAAUCUACACGAACCACCAGUAAGAAAUCUUUUAAAUCCCUAAUUAGAAGAGAAAUUGUUAUACUUAGAUUGUUAUCUCUAAUUUUGUAUUUAUAUAGUUUUUAUGUUUAAUUGACAAUCUAAUAAAAAAAUAAAAUGCAUAACUUGCUAUCCAUAUAUUAAUUCAAGAAAAAUUUAGAAAUUAACUCAAUCAAGUACUUAUUUGAUUUUUCUAGGUCUAAAAAUAUAAUACUUGUAUUUAUUAUAUUUUAGUCGUUAACUUCUAAAAUAUAUUUUAAUCAAGCCGUACUCAUCCCAGUUUAAUUUCUACCUAAAAGUUUUUAAUAUGUAUGACCUAUUAAGUUCUUAAUAUGUUGGCCCAAAUAUAAAUUAUAAUUAUAAUUAAAUAGAAUUAAUUAAAUUAAACAAUUUAAUUUAUUAUCAAUUCAAUAAUUGAUUAAUUUAUAUUUGAAUACAAUGUGCAUCGUCUAUCAACGUGUCUUGAUCUUCUAAAUAUUUAAAAAAUCAUUAGUGGUUUGACUUAACCUUCCAGUGAUCAAUUUCUCAGUGUAAUUAAUAUACUUUCAUUAAUAAUGUUUUGAUUUAACAUUAAAGUAUGGGGUAUAUCUGCCAUGUUAAAUCAUGUUUAUUCUCUAUAUAAUAGUCAUUGAUCAUUUAAAUAAUAUUUGUAACUCUUUUUAAUCUCAUUCCUUCUUGGUUAUCAAUUUCUCAGUCAAUACUAUUUAAGAAUAGAUAAACUAUUUUUUUAAUUCACUUAGGAUGAUGAAUCUUCUUUUUAUCACUCAAGUAUUUUUAUUAUUAUUAUUUCUUAAGAAUAGUGAAGAGACAGAAUUUUUCCUUAAUAAAAAUAAUAUAAGUAUGGUUCCAGGGGGGUUUUUGUAUUUUUCUUAAUUUUUUAAAGUUGAGCCAGGGGUUGUUUUGUAAUUUUAGGAAAAUAAAUAUUAUAAAAAAAACUGUUGACGUGUGCAAAUCAUGUGUUAGCGCAUGCAGAGCCGUUCGAUGACCAAAAUCAGUCAUCUACAACAAUGUUUGGAGGGGAGCGUUGUCCUCUUUGCAUUGGCGAGGUGUGUGUUCACGGUAAAGGUGCAGUUGGGUUCCAAUGAGCUUUUUUUAUUAUUAUUUUCUUAUCUCUUCUCUUUCUUUUAGCUUAAAAAUUCAUGUGUCCUUCCAAAAUUUGAUUGUGUCCUCUAGUUUCUAUUUCUAUCAAUUUUAAUUCUCAUUCUUUUGAUUACUAUUUGUUUUUCAUUUAAUACUUUUUGAACUUUUUUUAAAAAAAAAUCAGACAUUUUGUUUCAUUUAGUUUUUGUAUCCAAUUUAGUUCUCAUUCUUUUGAUUUUAUUUUUUUUGUGUUUUACUAUUUUCUUUAUUUGUUUUUAUUUUAUUUUUUCCUUCAUCAUUUUAUUCCCUUUAAUUGUUUUUAUUCAAGUUUGAUCCUCAUUCUUUUGAUCUAUGUAUUCUUAUUAUUUUCUUGAUUUUUUUUUAACCCUCAACAUUUUAUUUCAUUUAAUUUCUUUAUCAAUAAUGAUUCCCAUUCUUUUUAUUGCUAUUUUUAUUUUAUUUUGUCUUUUUCAAUUUAAUCUCGAAUUAUUUUUUUUCAUUUGGUUUUUAUACCAUAUUUGAUCCUUAAUAUUUUGAUUACUAUUUGUUUUUUUAAAAAAAAAAAAAAUUAUGAUUGGAAAUUUUACUUCGUGAUUUUUAUUUGUGUUUACCAUUCCGCACGAUAAUCAUAUUCUCAUUAUCUAGAUCAUUGCUUUCGAAUAUUAGCCCAAUUUAAGUUAGGUCUUUUUUUUAUCCUUCACUAAUUUUUUUAUAAUUUUAUCAUUUGACUUUGGGUUAUUGAAGCUUGAGCUUUGUUAUUUGUUCAACUUUUAUUUUUUUGAGUUUAUCACGAUCUAAUAUCUUGGACGGAAGGUUAAUCGAGUUAACUCGAGUUGACUCAAUGUGUUUUUUUCUCAAAUUUUUUUUAAGAAUUUUUUUUUUUAUAUUAUUGACCUUGAGCUUUAUGAUUCUUUCACUUUUUUUAUGUGGGGUCAUUCUGAGUGGAGGUUAGUCAAGUUAACUUAGGUUUUUUCUGACGUUUCUUUUAUUUAACUUUAGUCUUUUAUUCUAGGUCCUUUUAAAAAUAUAUAUAAUUUUUUUUAUCCUGAUCUCAUAUUAUGGAUGAUAAGUUGGUCAAGUUAACCUAAGUUGACUCGGUUUUGUUUUUUGAUGUUACUUUUUCUUAAACUUGAUUUUUUUUUAAUUUUAUCAUUUGACAAUAGGUUAUUAGGCUUUGAGCUUUGUUAUGCUUUUUUUUUUUUACUUUCUUUUCUUCAAGGUAAUCUCGAUCUCAUAUUCUAUGUCACAUAUUGGUUAAGUUAACCUGUAUUGAUUAGGGUUAUCAUCGGCUGCACAUCUUUUAUUAUGUUAGGAAUAACUUCACCAAACCCGCAACGUAGAGCAAAACACCUACCUAUUCACUAUUAAAAAGAGAUUUAUAGUAUAAGUCUCUUUUUAAUAGUGAAUAAAAAGAGAUUUAUAGUAUAAGUAAGAUAAUGUUUGUUUUUACACUUGAGGGCAUAGCUACUGUGGUAAACUGCAAGGCUUGUCUUUGCGAACGUCCCGGGUUCGACCCUCUCUGUGUACCCUGUCACCCCCGCGGUGUCUUACCUGCUCACUGGGCUUGCAAGAUGUUCAGUGGACCUCGGGGAUUAGUUGUGGUGCGCGCAAGCUGGCCCGGACACCCCGAGUUACAAAAAAAAGAGAAGAUAAUGUUUGUUAUUGUGGUUGGACCGCACUUUUUAAAAAAAUUAAUUUUUUUCUUUUAAUUUCAAUUAAUAUUUUUAUAUUUUUAAAUUGUUUUAAUAUAUCUAUAUCAAAAAUAAAAUUUAAUAAAUAAUAAUAAAAUAUUAUUUUAAUAUAUUUUCAAAUAAUAUUUAUUUUAAAAAAUAAUAUUUGAAAAUAACAAUAUUGUAUAAUUACCAUCACCAUACACUUUCACCUUUUACAUUUCUCAAUAAUUACUUGCCAUUUCUUGCUCGCAUCCCGUGCUCUUAGCUAUCCUUGAAACUUUUCCACUUCUUUCUUUGUCAACAUCCAGUUCCUUUGCCUUAGAAAACAAGCUUUGGCUGAAACAUUUUUUUUAUUAAUUUAUGAAUCAUAACAUAUAAAGUGUAAUUUUUAAAAAUAUAAAGGUAAAAUAAAAACAUAAUUAAACUAUAAGAUAUUUUUAUAAUUAUUUCUAAGAAUUAACUGCUAUGGAUGCACUUUGAAACUGCUAUGCUCAUUUGGAAAAAAAGAAAAGAAAAGUAAAUUAUACUCAAAAUCAUAGUUAAUUCUGGCCUAUAAUAAAACAAAUUGAGACUCCAAGUAAAUUUAUGUGUUUGGGUGUGCCUAUAUUUGUAGAAAUUCAUAUAAUCUACUUGUAGAAACUCCUCGUUUAAACACUAGUGUGUAUAAUAAUUUUUUCAAGGCUCAACUAUGUUACUAGCUAGAUUCAUUUGUUAAAUUAUGAAUUAUAUCAACUUCAAGUUUCCCUCGUCAGAUUCUGAUCCUUAAUCUAUGUUUAGAAGUUCAAUCAGGACCAUGUUAUUUGUGAGAAGUCCUCAUAAAACCCAUUUUAUUAUGGUUAGAAAAGGAUAGAAUAGAAGUGUUUCAAGCAGAUAGUGUUGAGGCAAUUUCUUCCUUUCUCUGUCAGUUUAAUCAUAGGCUCGUUAUAUUUCCCUGCACAGAGGGUCAUAUCAGCGCAAGGGAUCGUGGGCUAAACUUUUGGAUGUUGCAUUAUCACUUUGGAUUUUUCGUUUGAUGGUACAACAGAGAACAAAGAGAAAUUUGAGAGUUUUUUUAUACACGCAGUAGACAAAAAUAUUUCACAAAUUAGCACAGUAGUGGAUAAGUACGUUAGCAUAUGAGCAACUAGGCAUGUUUGUGUUUUUCUUGUUGAAUUCAUUUUCAAUGGUAUUUAAAGUUUUAUAAUCAGAAUUAUUUGAGAAAGUAAUUAUUCUUUAUAAAAAUACAUUUUGACUUUUGCAUAGAUAAAUUAUUUGAGAAAGCAAAAACUUCAAUUGAAAAGAAAAAUCAAGGUGGAAUGUUGUCUUCGAAUCACAACCGUGUUGGUUCUUAGAAACUUCAAUAGCUUUAAUACAGGCAUGGCUGGUCAAGUCCGCACCGUGUGGAGCCUAAUGUAAUUCUUCAAAAUUUAAGAGUGUAGAGCCACGCGGGUUGGCAAGCGCGGGAAGAAGACGUUUAGUAACCAACAAGGAAAUUCAAGUUGACAGAUGUUGUCUUCAAAUCACAGGCGUGUUGCUUCUCAGAAACUUCAAUGCUUUAAUAUUUUGAAAAAAUUGAACCACCACUCUAAAAUCACAAAUAUUUGAAAAUAUAAUAACUAUUAAUAACUUUUCUUCCUUUCCCUAUUCAUGUCCAAGAUAGACUAAUAUUUGAUUAUUCCAGAGAGUGAGCAAUUAUUUGGUCCUUCUGCACUUCUCUUUUCCAUAACCAAUCUUGCAUUAUCAUUUGACAGAUUUCGUCUUCCUGUCACAGCCAUGUUCCUUCUCUGAAUCUUCAAUUGCUUUAUUAUAGCCAUAGCUAGUCAAGCUCCACCGUGUGGAGCCUAAUCAAUUUAUUCACAGAAUAGCACAGGUAAAGCCCAUCACCAAACACUUUCACCUUUUCCGUUUCUCAUCUCAAACUGCUCUGUCUUCUCAAUAUUUACUUACUAUUUCUUGCUCACAUCCCCUUCUUUUAGUUAUCCUUACAGCUUUUCUACGUCUUCUUGUCAACAUACAAUUCAUUUCCAUUCGAAACCAAGCUAUGGCUGAUGCAAUUCUUUCUGCUCUCGCGAGUACAAUCAUGGGAACUUGAAUUCCCCAAUUCUUCAAGAGCUUGGAUUGCUGGGGGCCUAACGACAGAGCUUGAAAAUCUCAAGCGCACGUUCAGAACCAUUCAAGCUGUGCUGCAAGAUGCAGAUGAGAAGCAGUGGAAGAGUGAGCCUAUCAAGGUGUGGCUCAGCGACCUCAAGGAUGCAGCUUAUGCUGUUGAUGAUGUACUGGAUGAGUUUGCAAUUGAAGCUCAGUGGCUUCUGCAGCGAAGAGAUCUCAAAAACCGAGUAAGAUCCUUCUUUUCUUUUGGUCAUAAUCCACUAGUUUUUCGACAAAGGAUGGCUCAUAAAUUGAAGAUUGCUAGAGAAAAACUAGAUGCCAUUGCCAAGGAGAGACAAAAUUUCCACCUAACAGAGGGGGGUGUGGAGAUGCAAGCAGAUAGUUUUGUUCAGCGUCAGACUUGGUCUUCGGUGAAUGAAUCAGAAAUUUGCGGAAGAGGCAAGGAGAAAGAAGAACUAGUCAGCAUCCUGCUCGAUAAUGCAGACAAUCUCCCUAUUUAUGCUAUAUGGGGGAUGGGGGGGCUGGGUAAAACAACACUUGUUCAACUGGUCUACAAUGAACAAAGGGUUAAACAACAAUUCGGUUUGAGGAUCUGGGUGUGUGUAUCUACUGAUUUCAAUCUCGGAAGAUUAACAAGAGCCAUCAUAGAGUCCAUUGAUGGUGCCUCAUGUGAUCUUCAAGAAUUGGAUCCCUUGCAACAACGCCUCCAACAAAAGUUAACUGGAAAGAAGUUUUUGCUUGUACUGGAUGAUGUGUGGGAUGAUUGUAUGAUUGGUGGAGUAAAUUGAAGGAGGUAUUAAGGUGUGGAGCUAAAGGUAGUGCUGUCAUAGUAACUACGCGUAUUGAGAUGGUUGCUCGUAAAUGGCAACAGCUUUUGUCAGCACAUGGGGAGAUUGUCUGAAGAAGAUUCUUGGCAUUGUUUCAACAGCUUGCAUUCGGGAUGAGAAGGAAAGAGGAGCGGGCACACCUGGAAGCCAUUGGAGUAUCAAUAGUGAAGAAGUGUGGUGGUGUUCCUUUAGCUAUAAAGGCACUCGGGAACCUAAUGCGGCUAAAAGAUAAUGAAGAUCAGUGGAUAGCUGUCAAAGAAAGUGAGAUUUGGGAUCUAAGAGAAGAAGCAAGCAAGAUCUUACCUGCUUUGAGGUUGAGUUACACUAAUCUAUCACCACAUUUGAAGCAAUGCUUUGCGUAUUGCGCUAUAUUGCCAAAAGAUCACGUGAUGAGGAGGGAGGAGCUGGUUGCUUUGUGGAUGGCAAAUGGCUUUAUUUCUUGCAGAAGAGAAAUGGAUUUGCACGUCAUGGGCAUUGAGAUAUUCAAUGAACUAGUGGGAAGGUCAUUUCUGCAAGAGGUCGAGGAUGAUGGAUUUGGCAACAUAACAUGUAAAAUGCAUGACCUUAUGCAUGAUCUCGCACAAUCCAUUGCAGGACAAGAAUGCUAUAUGAGUACCAAAGGCGAUGGGAAGUUGGAAAUUCCUAAAACUGCCCGUCAUGU
This 62712-nucleotide long non-coding RNA is filed under the name Populus tremula. RNAcentral's name for it is "long non-coding RNA (PTRE_LNC003393)". The record is from RNAcentral. Lineage: Eukaryota; Viridiplantae; Streptophyta; Magnoliopsida; Malpighiales; Salicaceae.